ACUUCUAUAUGUUACAUGCACUACAACAGAAUUAGAUUAUAAUAACACAAUUUCGGAACACUUUUAUGUAAGUGUCCCAUUUAUACCAAUACUUUUUUAAAAAAUCUACUAAAGACUAAAUAUAAAGCCCAAUACAAUCAAAAAGAAAAAAGUUCCUCUACUUAGCCAACCACACUCAGCCCAUUCAACCCGAUUACAAAUAAAAAAGGAAAAAAAAAAGAAAGAUCGAUCACCAUCUCUCCUUCUCCUUCUCCGCCGCCGCAGCCGAUGAGGUAGGGUUCCGGUGACUGGAGUUUGACCGCGAGAAUCUCGUAGGGACCGUAGAGAGCUACGAUUGCCAUGUAUUCCUCCGCCACAGGUCGCUGGAGGAGUUGGUGCCAAAUAUCAAGACAGCCCUACCUAUAGCGAUCCCACGCAUAGCAACACUUUUAAAAAGUAUCGGUAAUUUAUAGCCAAGAGCACUUUUUUUGACCUGUAACGAUAUUUAAAAGUGUCGCUAUAUACCGUUUUUGUUGUAGUGUGCCAACAAGUUAGAGAUAUGCGACCACUUGUUCUCGAGAUGUCUAUACUUCCGCUACUUCUUUGCUCGAUAGAGGAUUGCUAAUCUUUUAUUUCUUAUCUUUUACCUUUUACUUUUACCUCCGGCCUUCUCACCCUCUCUUUCCUCUUCUUCGAGAUCUUGGCUGCCUCAUCUGUAUUGCUAACUCCUCCUCCAAGAAGGUAAUCUGCGCAGACUUAGCCGGCACUGCAUUAACUCAAACUGUAUACUUCAACCACGAAGACCACCAUUGCAAAGAUGGGUCUUUAACUGCCUACCAACCAGAGGACACAUCCAAGACCGCGGACUUUAACUGCCUUGACACUCAACAGAAGAAAGAGAAGGACCCUAUCAACCUCUUUAAGCAUACUUACAAGGAAGCACUUCUUUCUUCUCCACUUGCACCCACUCCGCCUCCACUACACCCACCUGCGAAGCCCGCCUCUUCUUUCCCCCUGGUCAAUGGCUACUUCUCCUUCAAGGGUCGCUGCUUCAGGUGCCUGGGGAGAGAUCACCGGGCCUCUCAUUGCCGCGAUCCUGUUCGGUGCACUACGUGUUUCAAGUCUGGGCACAUCGCGAGAGCCUGCAUGAAUUGCUUACCACUGCCGGUUUACCGGAUGAUGCGAGCACGUCCCUCCCACCUUAGUGCUUUUGUCCCCCUCUCCGAUGACUUCAUCGCCCGCCAAAAUCGUCGCCGCAACGCCAUCUUGGUCGUUGUCCUGCCUCCGGCGAACCUUGGGCAUUUCCCGCAGGAUACAAUCGCCAAGGAGCUCGCAAGUCGCUUUGGUGGAUACCCUAACGACUUCCACGUCGCUCGUUAUAGCGUGAGAGACUACGUUGUUUUUUUACCUGAUUUGGUUCCGAGCGAUCGCAUUAUUCGUCGGGACGUCCUCAACCUGGGGGCUAUCCGACUCCGUUGUUUCCCCUGGCAUCCCUACCGCGGCGCUCGCCGACCGCCGUUGACAUACAAGGCCUGGAUCCGUCUCGUCAACCUCCCCUAUGAGUGCUGGUCUUUCCGGUCGGUGGCAGCUCUUGUAGGAGGCUUCAGUCGCUUCAUCAGGCCGGACGACGUCAGCGCUCGAAUGGAAGAUCUCUCCGGAUACAGGUGUUUCAUUGCGGUUAAUCAUCUAUCGGACAUUCCGAAAAAUUUGGACAUCACUUUCGGAGAACUGUCGAUUUCGGUGUCAAUCCAGCUGGAAGGUUGGGACCGCGCCGAUGCCGUCGGACGCGGAUACCCGCCCAAUGAGCGCUCAGAUAAGUGGCGUGGACGACGGGUCCGUUCGGCCGUCCGUGGACACCGCGCCGUUGCCGUCCCUCUACGACAGGAGUCUUCUCUGGCCAGCGCGCCCCUCACGGCGUCCCUUCCGCUCGCCGCGCCUUCAGUUGAAGGCAUACCGGCCGGGAGGGCUGUGGUCGACGACGCACUGAUCGGCGGGCCUCUGCGACAGGAGUUUCCCCAUGCCCGCGUGCCCACCACGGCGGCGGCGCCCACCACGGCGACGGCGCCCACCGGAGCGGCGGCGCCUUCUCUGCUCGCCGCGUCUCCAGUCGUAUGCCCAUCAGCCGGAGGAACCGCCGUCGGCGACACCUUGGUUGGCGGGCCAACCAAGUUGACAAUUUCAAAUCUCAUCUCUGUCGACCAUCCUAUUCCUGUCCAGUCAGCCGUCAUGGACAGUAGUAGUGUCAGGGCUCUAGGCAACUCUUUCCAGCUCGCGCGCCCCCCGAUUGCCUGUAGCCUCUCAAAUGUCAUUAAUGCACCUUCAGCUGUGAUGGAAAGCUUCGAAAUUAAGGCCCAGGGAUUUCUAAAGGUGGUGUUAGACAAAAUGGGAUUUGGGGCUGCUUUCUUCCUCCUCGAGAAUCGGUGGAGCAUUUAUUUUCGAUUCUCUCCAUCUCCCUCGUUCCCCGCGCGGGGGCCUUUCCAGUUCGUUGUUGACGGGUCGGAUGCGCAGACUGGGUCGGUAGUGCUUUCCCCAAGCUACCCGAGAUCCAUUCUGGACCCGGAUCUACCCUCUUCUUGCUGGCCUGGUGCAAGGCAGAUCUUUUCCAGCACUGGGCCAGUCUUGGGCUCACUUAUGGGCAGAAGGACGGUCCCUAGCGGGCCCCCCUCCAGCAGCCUACUUGGGCUCUCCUCUGGCUUCGGGCCCGCUGGAAGCCUGCUCCCCUCUAACUGUCCCCUUGUACUCUCGUCUGAUUAUGGGCCCGCAGGAUGCCUGAACUCUUACUGCCUGGGACCAGAUAGGGGUGGCCCAUCUGCUGGGUCCUUAAUCUCCGAUCCAUAUAAGGCUUGUCUUGGGGCGGGCUCGUACCAUGAUGCUACCCUGACGCCGACAAUUUCGUGCGGCCCCCCACCCAGCAACGAAUGUCCCACUAUGGUACUGCCUAGAUCUAGCGGAAGGGUUUGCAAGCAAUUUUCGGGCACUGCCUUAUGUAAGGCCAUGCACAGGAAGGCGCGACUUCUCGAGGGUGAGACAACACAAAUCAAUCAUUCUUCGCGCAAAUGGACAAGGAAAAAGGUUAAGGCGAAGGGUCUCCUCUGUGGGGUAGACCUUCCUGACGACGAUGCUAAGGAGUUCCUCGCUUUCCUGUGUGGGAAGGUCUAAGCGCGGUCUGCUUACCCGCUGGCGCUGUUCCUUUUUGUGUGCGUCACUUGUUUAUUGAUGUUUAGUAUUUUGUGUUGGAAUGUCCGGGGCCUUAACGACCCCUCCAAGCGACGUUGUGUCAAGUCGGUCAUUUCUAGUCGCGUGUGUUCCGUUAUUUGUCUCCAAGAAUCUAAGGUGAACUGUGUGUCUCGUUCUUUUAUCCGCUCUUGCUGUGGCUCUAGCUUUGACAGAUCUCAAUUUAUUCCUGCAUCCGGCGCUUCUGGCGGGCUUAUCACUUGUUGGAGCUCCAAAUUUUUCUCUUGUAGUGAGGUUAUUGUGAGAAAGUACUCUCUGACUCUACAUCUAACUUGUCUUAUGAGUAGAAAGACUUUCUUCCUCACGAACGUCUACGGGCCACCUAUUUGGGAUGGAAAGGAUGAAUUCUGCUCCGAACUUCUCUCUUUGCAAAGGGUUUGCACUUCCAACUGGGUGAUUUGCGGAGACUUCAACUUCACCAAAAAUCAAUCAGAACGAAAAGGGAACACCUGGAGCACUAAGGCGAUGGCUAUGUUCUCUGACCUCAUAUCCAGCCUAGCUCUCAUCGACCUCCCCCUAUCUAAUCAAAGUUUCACCUGGUCAAAUAUGCAACAUAGACCCACCUUGGCAAAGCUCGACAGAUUCCUCGUGUCGACGGAGUGGGACCAAUCCUUCCCUCAUAGCAAGGUCAAAGCCCUUCCCAGGAUCACAUCUGAUCACUCUCCGAUCAUUCUUUACACCGGGCUGCAACCCGUACCCAGAAGAUUCCGCUUCGAAAGGGUUUGGCUCACUAAAGAGGAUUUCCACUCAAAACUGCCAACCUGGUGGAACGAAGUAGGCAUCAAGAAUUCGGCCAUUCUCACCAUCACCGCCAAGCUCAGACACUGCCGAACCAGAAUUAAGGAAUGGUGCAAGACGAAUUUCCACAGCAUCUCUCUCUCGAAGAGGAUAUUAGAGGAAGAACUUCAAGUUAUUGAUCGCUUAGAAGAACAAAACGACCUUUCUCAAGAUUUAUUAGAUAAGCGAUCUAAUCUCAAAUCACAAUUACAUUCAAUCUUGGAAGAGGAAGAAAUUCUCUGGAAAACUAGGGCCAAACAACUCUGGCUUAGGGAAGGCGACCGCAACACUAAAUUUUUCCACGCCGUGGCUAAUGGACGGAAACGUUACAACUCGAUUGAUGUUAUCGAGAACAAUGAUGGAAUAGAAAUCACUAAUGAAGCCUCCAAGCGAUCCUUCUUGCUCCAAGCUUUUAAACAGCGGUUUGGCCAAACAGAGGAUAGAGCGCAGUCUUAUGGGGACUGGAGUAGACUAUACCAUUCUAAUAGACUGCACAAUUCUGACUCCCUUACAUCCCCUUUCACCUUGGAGGAAGUCAAGACUGCUACUUUCCAACUCGCAAGCGACAAGUCCCCGGGGCCAGACGGCUUCUCCCUCACUUUCUUCCAAACAUUCUGGGAGACGGUUAAAGCGGAUAUUUUUCGUGUCUUCAUCGACCUACAAGACAAUAGACUUUUUACUGGCCCUUCGGACUACUCUUUUGUAUGUCUGAUCCCGAAAAAAGAAGGAGCACGCAAGGUCAACGACUUUCGUCCAAUAAGCCUUAUUAAUAGUAUCCAGAAAAUCAUAUCAAAGGUCCUAGCCAACAGGCUUGCCCCCACCCUGCCGUCUAUCAUCUCUUCAACGCAAUCGGCUUUUCUCAAAGACCGGUUGCUGACUGACUCGUUCGUUACCGCAAGCGAACUACUCAAUUGGUGUUCUAAGACUGGUAGGGAAUGCGUAUGUAUUAAAGCAGACUUCGAGAAAGCUUUUGACAAUGUUCGUUGGGACUUCCUGAAAAGCAUAUUACAUUGGCUGGGAUUCAACGACAAAUGGUGGGCUUGGGUCGAGCAGUGUAUCUGUAACGCCAAAGUAGCCAUCCUAGUUAACGACACCCCGACUAACUGGUUUAAGACUAGAAAGGGACUUAGACAGGGCGACCCUCUUUCCCCCUAUCUUUUCCUAUUAGUGGCUGACUGCUUGGCUAGGCUCACUGAAACUGCAAGGAAUAACAACCUUCUCUGUGGUAUUGGUCCGUCCACGGAUUGUCAAACUGUGCUGAUCCAAUACGCAGAUGACACGAUCUUCCUUUCUGAGCCUAGGAAAUACUUCAUGCGGAAUCUUCAAUUUAUAUGGUUUAUCUUUGAGUGGGCCUCUGGACUCAGGAUCAAUUUGGACAAAUCAGAACUGUAUUAUUUGGGACCCGACCCUCAACGAGCCAACAGACUCAGUAACAUCCUAGGAUGUAAAGUGGGGAACCUUCCAUUUCGCUACCUGGGACUACCGCUACACAAUAAACAACUCCGUCGAGAAGAUUGGGCUCCGGUCAUUGACCGUAUACUCAUGAGAAUCGAAGGAUGGAAAGCCAAACUCCUAUCCCAAGGGGGAAGACUCACGCUAGUCAACUCGGUCCUCACCAACUUGCCACUAUUCUACCUAUCCAUCUUCAAAGCGCCGCAAUGGGUAUUGCACCGGAUCGAAUCUCUAAGAAGAGCUUUCUUCUGGAAAGGAUGUACCAGUAUUUCUGGAGGAGCUUGUCUUGUUAGCUGGAAGUCUAUAUGCACAAGCAAGAAAGAAGGUGGGCUCGGGAUCAAAGAUAUGGAAGCUAUGAAUCUGGCACUGUUAUCCAAAUGGUGGUGGCGUUUCUUCAACAAACCGCAUUUACUAUGGUCCAAAUUGAUCACAUCUCUCUACUACGCCAGAAGAAAGCCUUUACACGAGGGUAGAACUUUCGUACCUUACUCAUAGUGGUGGAAAGGUGUACUUUAUUGUCGUGACAUCUUCAAAUGCGGUUUAUCUUUUGAGCUAGGCGACGGACGUAACAUUAGAUUGUGGUCGGACAUUUGGAUUGGCGAAUCACCCUUGAGCACCAUGUUUCCAGACAUCUAUGCACAUAUUACGAACAAGGAAGUUCGGAUAUCCGAAUGUUGGAAUCAUAAUGGAUGGAGAUGGCGUUACAUCACUAGAGGUUUCGUGGCGUCCCGUUCAGCCCAUGGUAGUAGUCAUUUGCAGUUACUCAAAGAACUACUACUAAGCAGCCACCCGUACAACAGACAAGAUUUGUUCAAAUGGCGGUGGACUACCAACCACCUGUUUACAGUCAAAUCCCAAUACCAAUUUCUCACAGACGGCGGUUGUAGAGAUUGGUUGAACCAGCACAUCUGGAGCCUGAAAAUACCAUUUAAAAUCAAAAUUUUCGUUUGGUUGCUGCUUCGAAAGAGACUACUUACCACUGACAGACUGCUCUCCAGAGGCAUGCCUGUAGACCCGUACUGCGCACUCUGUGGGGUACUGCCGGAAAGCUGUGAUCACCUUUUCUCUAAGUGCGUCUUUGUUCGCUUCCUCCUACUCUCUGUGGCUGACUUCGAAACUAUUCCUUCUACCCCGGGAGAGGCCUGCGAGCUUUGGGUCAACGUAUCUGGAACCACUGACGCUGCAAAGAAAUCCAAAGGUUUAAUCCAUCUGGUUGCAAUCUGGUGGGUUGUCUGGACAGAUAGAAACUCGGUAAUCUUUCGGGCCGCAUCCCCCAACGCAGUUCGGUCAUCUGAACGCAUCAACAGAUUGAUAAGCGACUGGGGAAUACUCAAUUGACCAACUCCCUCAGCUUUUCACUUACCUUUCCUCUUUUAUCUUUUAUUUCUUUUUAUUGCAUCUAACCCUGUUUUCACCUUUUUCGUCUACGGAGGCCGUAGUUGCUUCCAUCCUGUACGCUUAAUUCAUCUCGCUUUAUGAAUGAAGCAGGUAGCUUGCUACCUUUUUCUCAAAAAAAAAGUUUAUGAUAAAAUAAAUGAACCAAAUAACUUGUUACCUUUUUCUCCAAAGGGGAAAAAAAAAAAGAACUUCUCGAAAGCAUCUGAAGUUUGUAAAUAUAAUAUUAGAGUCUGUCAUAUGCCACGUUGUUAAAAGUAGUCAAUAGGUCCAUAAGAAGAUUGUGUAGCUAGUAAAAUGACGAUACAAAAAUAGAGUUAGAUCAGAGUCAAGGUCCAACUGAAUGAUGAGAUCGCAUAUAUAACUACUGUUGGAGUAGAGUCAUGAGCCAACAAAACAAUUGAAGCAAAGACGUGAGCUGAUGAAACAGGGAUGGUUGGAUAAUCCUCUCUGUCUUCUGUGGUGAAGUUACGGAGACAGUGGACCAUCUUUUUAUAGGAUGUGUGUACACUAGGUUUAUGCUUUUUCGAACCUUAGAGGACAUCUAGUAUUUACAGACAGUGGAGAACGUACUGACGAUUUGGAGUAAAAUGACCAGACAUAUUAGGUCGGGGGAGAUUCUAAAGGAUCUGAUUACCAUAGUAACGUGCUGGUGGCUAAUUUGGAAGGAAAGAAAUAACGUGAUUUUUAAAAACCACUUUGCUGACUCUCUCUUUGUAGUUGGGCGUAUCAAGGAGUUGGUAAGAGAGUGGAGGGACUUUUGUUGAGCUGAAUAAUCUGUCGAUUACUUUUGUUAUUAUUUCUCUUUUCUUCUUUUUUUGAGCUAUAUUUUUCUCCUCGAGGCCAUGUUGUCUCACUGUUUGUGGCCAAGUUCAUUUUCGAAAUGAAUGAAGCGGGUAUUGUGCUACCUUUUUCUCAAAAACAAAAAAAAAAAAACAAGAAUUUAAACAUAGUCAAACCAACACCCUCAUAAAUACAAAUUAAGAUCAAAUUAAUUUACUGAUAAGCUAUAAGUAUUAAGUCAUAUAUAACAUUUUGUAUAUAAAAUUAUAUGUGUAUAUAUAAUGUUUGAACUUUUUUUACCAAGCCACGCUCAAGCUCAGCUCGCGAACCAUGAGCUUUUUUUAACAGCCCUUACACAACCAUUCAGUAAAUUUUUACAUAGACCAUGCAUGGGAAUUGAAGAAGAGGCUAUAUAUAUAUUGGUGCAAUUAAUUUAGCCGAAUUUGCAUGAUUUUAUAAAUUUUUUUUUUUUUUUUGANNNNNNNNNNNNNNNNNNNNNNNNNNNNNNNNNNNNNNNNNNNNNNNNNNNNNNNNNNNNNNNNNNNNNNNNNNNNNNNNNNNNNNNNNNNNNNNNNNNNNNNNNNNNNNNNNNNNNNNNNNNNNNNNNNNNNNNNNNNNNNNNNNNNNNNNNNNNNNNNNNNNNNNNNNNNNNNNNNNNNNNNNNNNNNNNNNNNNNNNNNNNNNNNNNNNNNNNNNNNNNNNNNNNNNNNNNNNNNNNNNNNNNNNNNNNNNNNNNNNNNNNNNNNNNNNNNNNNNNNNNNNNNNNNNNNNNNNNNNNNNNNNNNNNNNNNNNNNNNNNNNNNNNNNNNNNNNNNNNNNNNNNNNNNNNNNNNNNNNNNNNNNNNNNNNNNNNNNNNNNNNNNNNNNNNNNNNNNNNNNNNNNNNNNNNNNNNNNNNNNNNNNNNNNNNNNNNNNNNNNNNNNNNNNNNNNNNNNNNNNNNNNNNNNNNNNNNNNNNNNNNNNNNNNNNNNNNNNNNNNNNNNNNNNNNNNNNNNNNNNNNNNNNNNNNNNNNNNNNNNNNNNNNNNNNNNNNNNNNNNNNNNNNNNNNNNNNNNNNNNNNNNNNNNNNNNNNNNNNNNNNNNNNNNNNNNNNNNNNNNNNNNNNNNNNNNNNNNNNNNNNNNNNNNNNNNNNNNNNNNNNNNNNNNNNNNNNNNNNNNNNNNNNNNNNNNNNNNNNNNNNNNNNNNNNNNNNNNNNNNNNNNNNNNNNNNNNNNNNNNNNNNNNNNNNNNNNNNNNNNNNNNNNNNNNNNNNNNNNNNNNNNNNNNNNNNNNNNNNNNNNNNNNNNNNNNNNNNNNNNNNNNNNNNNNNNNNNNNNNNNNNNNNNNNNNNNNNNNNNNNNNNNNNNNNNNNNNNNNNNNNNNNNNNNNNNNNNNNNNNNNNNNNNNNNNNNNNNNNNNNNNNNNNNNNNNNNNNNNNNNNNNNNNNNNNNNNNNNNNNNNNNNNNNNNNNNNNNNNNNNNNNNNNNNNNNNNNNNNNNNNNNNNNNNNNNNNNNNNNNNNNNNNNNNNNNNNNNNNNNNNNNNNNNNNNNNNNNNNNNNNNNNNNNNNNNNNNNNNNNNNNNNNNNNNNNNNNNNNNNNNNNNNNNNNNNNNNNNNNNNNNNNNNNNNNNNNNNNNNNNNNNNNNNNNNNNNNNNNNNNNNNNNNNNNNNNNNNNNNNNNNNNNNNNNNNNNNNNNNNNNNNNNNNNNNNNNNNNNNNNNNNNNNNNNNNNNNNNNNNNNNNNNNNNNNNNNNNNNNNNNNNNNNNNNNNNNNNNNNNNNNNNNNNNNNNNNNNNNNNNNNNNNNNNNNNNNNNNNNNNNNNNNNNNNNNNNNNNNNNNNNNNNNNNNNNNNNNNNNNNNNNNNNNNNNNACACUUUUAAAAAGUGUUGCUAUAUGUGGGGUCGCUAGGUAUAUAGUGACAGUUAAAGAGUGUCGCUAUAACCUAAAAAAGUGCUGCUAAUUUACCAACACUUAUUUAAGCAUUUAGCAACCGCCGAAACUCUAUCUCGUUGGCUGCGAUGGCGGAGGAGGACGACAGGAAAGGCUCUUCGUCUAGAAUUUCAGUGGAUUAAGUGAAGAGAGAAGAAAAGAUGGUAAUUGAUUUUUCUUUUUUUUUUUCUUUUCUGUUUGUAAUCGGGCCAAAUGGACUGGGUGUGGUGGGUUGAGUAGAGUAAUCUUUUAUUUUUGGUUGGAUUGGGCUUUAUAUUUAGGCAUUAGUAGAUACUUUUUUAAGUUUUAGGAUAAAUGGAAUACUUACUCAAAAGUGUCCCAAACAUGUGUCCCUAUAAUCUAAUUCUGUUGUAGUGAUCUCUAGUUCCUGACUCGUCAAACCAAGUUUCAAUUUAGUCCUCAAACUUUCAAGUCCGAUGUUACAUGUCUAAAGUAUUAUUAAUUAGUAUGUACAUUUACUGUUAGAGGAUCAAUUAUUGGCCAGAUGCAGUGUAGAUAUAUAUACAUUGUGUACGUACCACGCAUUUAUUUAUCGAUCACCAAUUGCAUGCAUUACUAUUUAAUUUCUCUGUGAAGUAUUGAACUAAAUGUAUGGUAGAUCGAUAAAUUUAUAGUGUUCAGAUGACAUUGAAAAUUCGGCAUCUCUCAUAUAUAUCGUAUUAAAAAAAAUUAAAAUUCAUGCACAAAAAUUAAGUCCAGGAACUAACUAGUAGUGCAAUUUAUCUCUUUCAUUUUGGUCCCUAAUAUCUUUUAAGGUACCGAUUGGUUCAGAAAUUAAUAAGCUACUGUCGCUUAUAUAUAUCUAGUAUAUAUAGAUACUACAAUUGUGUUUGGAUGAGAUUUUAGUUUUUCUGAGUAAUAUAACAAAUUGUGUUUACAUAGUUAGAUUGAAAUGACAGGAAUAAAGAUACCUAUAUAUUUUUUUAAUCUAAAGAAACUGCUAUGAAAGUGUUAAUAAAAUUAUAGUUUGAUAAGUUAAUUAAUUAAUUAACUAUGAAUAUUAUAUAAGAUGAUGGAGAAGCACUUUAAUUAGUUAGUUAACUGUGAAAAAUAAGUUAAUAUGUUAAAUCCGUUAUAUAUUCGAUCAACCGAUAAAUUAAUUGUACAAGUUAAUAUAAAUAUUAGUUUAAUCACUACAACAAAAACGGUUUAUAGUGACACUUUUAAAUAUCGGUACAGGUAAAAAAAAAAUAUUGCUGGCUAAAUUACCGACACUUUUAGAAAGUGUUGCUAUAUGUGGGAUCGCUAGGUAUAUGGUGAUAGUUAAAAAGUAUCGCUAUAAGCUAAAAAGAAUGCUGCUAAUUUACCAACACUUAUUUAAGCAUUUAGCAACAGCCGGAAUUCUACCUCGUUGCUGUGAUGGGGGAGGAGGAGGAGAGGGAAGGGCUCUUCGUCUAGAAUUUCAGUGGAUUGAGUGAGGGGAGAAGGAGAGAUGGUAAUCAAUUUUCCUUUUUUUUUUUCUUUUCUGUUUGUAAUCGGGCCAAACGGGUUGGAUGGGGUGGGUUAACUAGAGUAACCUUUUAUUUUUUGUUGGAUUGGGUUUUAUAUUUAGGCAUUAGUAUAUUUUUUAAAAAAUUUUGGCAUAAAUGGGACACUUACACAAAAGUGUUCCAAACAUGUAUCCCUAUAACCUAAUUUUAUUGUAGUGAAUAUUUAAUAUUUGGACAAGUAUAUUAGAUAAUUAAUUAAAAAUUAGCUACUUGAUUAUAAAUAAUAAGUUAAUGCCUGCUUCUAAUAAUUAAUUAAUAAAUAAUACUUUUUAAUUAUUUAUAGCUGAAUUAGUAGAGGAAUAAAAAUAUAGAAUAGUACAUUCAUAGAAAUGCAUAACUUUUAGUUAUUUUUUCGAAGAAUAAAGGGUAUAUAAGAGACUGAUCCAAACAGGACCUAAAAGUUUGACGAUAUUAAUAAAGAUUAUCUACUUUUGUUGUCGGUUGGUCUUGUCGUGUCUUAUCUCCAAAAAGACGAUAAAUAAAAAAAUUAAAAAUUAAAGUACUGCUGUAAGUACAGAAGAAGAUUCUUCCAACAAUUACUAAAUAUAGUGAGAUGCACACGCACGUGUUUUUAGACGCACUACAAAAUGCCACGUAGAUGCUCGGGCAUUCACGGCAGGUGGAGACUGAGGUUUAAUUUGGUAUUGAGAUUCAUAUGAAACUAUUAAAUAAAAUAAAAUUGAGAUGAAAGUACAUAGUAAUAUGCUUCUGUAUUUUUCAGUGGGACCGUAGAAAAUAUAUCAUAACAGACUUAUCGCAAUAUACAGAACAUAAUAUUACGUACGAAAACAAACACGGUAUUUUUCCAUCGUACUUUCUCACUGCACGUAACGCAAUCUUCCCUCAAUUCCAAGCAAAGCCUGAGUAUGUAUACAUCCAAAUUAAUUAAGCAAUUUUCUUUCUAAGUCCUCUUAAAAUAUGAGAAUAAUUUCUUUAAUAACAGCUAUAAUAAUAUGUUAUAUUCUAAGUUAAUUUUAGGGGCUGUUUAACUGCAAACAGAUCUAAAUUCAGUAUUUAGUUUGAUGCAUUUGAAUCUAAUUGCUGUAAUUGAAACGGUAUGAGAAUGCCCAACUGUAGCAACUGGAACUAUACCUAAAUUGGUUGCAGUUCCAACUUCAGUAGUUGGAGAGAUAUGUUUACCUCUCCAAUCACUUUUUAGACAAUUUUCUUUUUUUCUACAUAAGCAGUAAUCUCACCACAACAUAUAUAAAGUUUAUAAAUUUUAAAAGUUAUUUACAAAUGCAAUGUUUAAUUUCUACUAUAUCCAACCAAAUAAGAUUUAUGUAGCCGUAAAUGCUAACUUUUUAACAAAUUUUGAACUAUGUAUUGUAUCUCUAGUUAUAUUCAAUCAAACAGUCUCUUAGUAAGCGACGUCAUUACAUGGUAUAGAGUCUAAUCCAUAAAUAAUAACUUUACGCUGAAAUGAUGUCUAAAAAAAUUUUUAAAAUUUGUACUUUUAUGUAAUAUAGAAAUCUGUGAUCAGAAUUUAUUGAUCAUAUUUUUCUCUUGUAAUGUGACAGAUAUAUAUUGCCCAACCCAUCACAUUUUCGGAGUGCGUGCGUAAUUUAAUUAACAAUAUAUGAAUAUGGAAUUAAUUCCAAAUAUAUAUAUUAUGCUCAUGAGUAGUGUUUUUUGUGCUUAGGGACAAGAUCCGCCUAAGUUGUCCAUAUAUAUAUAUUAAGGUCCCGUUUGGUUCGGGUAUAAAUUUUAUAGGUAUAAAUUUUUAUAUACUUGCUAUUCCGGGAUAGUUAAGAAUAAAGGUAAAAUUGUGUUUGGUUUGUAAAGUUGUUAUUCCUUAUAAUAGAUGAAAUUGUGUUUGGUUUGUUUUAUAGAAUAGUGAAGAAUAAUGUAAAAAGUUGAUAGGUAAAUUUUAAAAAUGCCAACUUUGCCCUUGCCUUGUGUUUACAAAAUAUGGUUUCUAUUUCAUAAUCUAAUAUAUAAAAUAAAUAAUAAAAUACAGUUCAACGGAACAAUCCAACCCAACAUGAAAUUAUGCAAAAUAUUUUCAAUUAACCAUUGCAAAAACCGAAUAGUGCAAAGUUUCCAUCACUGUACGAUGCAUCAUUUUGCAAUUAGAUGCAAUUACCAUCAAGCCAAAGUACAUCUAUACAGAGUUACAAGUUUGGAAAAAAAAAAUAACAGAGAAUUGAAGAAACAACAUAUUUAUAAUUGCUAGCUAGGAAAAAGUUAAAAAACAGAUCUGGUGAAGCAAAGAAACCAAAGUAGAGAGUCAAGUGUUAACAAUCAUACUUAGUACACUAACUUCGAAAGCAUAUGUAAAUUUGCAAAGUUACAGAAAUGAAACAAAUUAUCACAUCAUCCCGAAUAUCGUCUCUUAUCUAUUAUUCCAUAGUUGCUCCGUAAUCCUAGUACGAAGGAUGUCGCCUCGGUGAGACUCAUCUGGGCCAACUAAAUGCACGGGAUCAUCGUCUUGGUCAUCAGUGGAUAAUGGGUUCAUCUGUAAGUUGAAUUACCUAUCGGUUCCUUGGUGUCUCUUGAUGAAAUUAUGUAUCACACAACAUGCGAUGGCGAUACGACAUUGCACUUUGUAGGGAAAAGGUGUUGCUUGUCGGAGCACCUUGAAGCGUCGUUUGAGAAUUCCAAAUGCUUUCUCAAUUACGUUUCUCAAUUGAGCAUGUCGAUGAUUAUAUAAAUCUUUUGGUCCUCGAUGCCUUCGGGCAUGUGCAUUAACAGCGAAUUGGCUUAAAUGAUAUCGUUCCCCUCUAUAAGGGGCGAGGAAACGAUCAGUGUUUGCAUAUCCUGAAUCAACUAAAUAGAAUUUCCCUACAGAAAUAAAUAUUUAUUUAAAAUGAUGACAAUGAAUGAAUCACACACUACCCAUUAAAUAAAAAAUAAUAGUAUACCUUCCGGGACCGUAAAACCUCCGCUCUCGCAACACCAUCGCAGCACUCUCAUGUCUGCUGCAGAACCCUCCCAUCUAGUGCACACAAAAAGGAAUUGGUGGUCAAAGGAACAUGCCGCCAUCAUAUUUUGAGAUGUAAAUCCUUUUCGGCAACGAUAUCUUGGUUGCUUACUCUUUCGCACGACUACCGGUAUAUGUGUCCCAUCGAUCGCACCAAUUGCAUUCUGUAAUUAAUUAGUGAAAAGAGAAUAAGUAAUAUAAAAUAUCUGUAGCUUGCAUANCUCGCCUCAAGAGGCCAAGCCUCAAGCCCCCCAAGGUCUCUUUAUGUUGGUGUGUUUAAAUAUUUGGUAUUAUUGCUUUUAUAAUAUGUGUAGAGCUACUAUAUUAUUGGAAGCAUAGAGGAUCUGAUGCUUCCAACUUUUUGACCAUUGGAUCAAAAAUUAUACGAUUGGGAUGAUUGCGGUCCCCCUAGGGUUGAGUAGUACCCCUAGGGUUGAGUGGUCCCCACAGGUUAAUAGUAUUAAUCCAAAUAUUAAAAAUGAUUAAAGGGGUUGAUUUGAGGGCCAAAAAAUCGGAAGCACCAGAUCCUCUAUACUUCCGAUAGCAUAGUAGCUAUACUCUUAUAAUAUUUAUUACUUGUUAUCAUUAUUGAUGUGAUCACUUAGUACUUUUUUCAUAUUAUAUAUGUGUUAUUGUCUUAUUUUAAUAAAAUUUUAGCUAAAUAUUGAUAUUAUUUCAUAAAUCUUGCAUAUUUGCUUUGAAAAUAUAUAUUGGAUCAAGUGAGCAUAAAAAAUCAAAAGUACUUUAUUAAUCUAAAUAUGCAUAGCUAAUUUUUCAACGUCGACAAAAUUAUAGUUUGAUAUGAUUUUUUUACAUUAUAACAAAAAAGAAAACCAUUAGGGCUGUUUGGUUCGAGUUAUGUAAUAUUACAAAGUAUCUCGAUAUAUCUAGGUAUUUUGGAUUUCGGCGUGAGAUAACUACUAAUGCUGUAUUAGAGCGUUUGGUUUAAUACAGUAAUAUAAUACUAGAUUACAGUAUUUAUAGCAUUAAUAUGUUUGGUUCAGCUUAUAAAAUUUAGUAAUCCAGAGAGAGAGAGAGAGAGAGAGAGAGAGCGUUCUUGUGGAUAGUAGAAGAUAACGCAGCAGGAGGGUUCAUUAGUAGUGCUAGAGGAAGGGAGGUAAGCAGUAAAGGCAUUUUUUAUUAUAAGUUUACUGGUGUUGUUCCCGUUAAAACCUUUUUUGAUAUGAAAAUACAGUNNNNNNNNNNNNNNNNNNNNNNNNNGCCGAAUAUUCGUUUAUGGAAUGGGAAAGUUGGCUGCCAUGAAUCGGGCUCGCCGGCUCGGAUAUGGGUCGCCUGUAUAAAUGGUGCUUGGAAUAAUAGUGUGAUCUUCUGUCAAAUUCGAAAGGUUUGUGUACUGUUCUUCCAAUUAGGUCUGCUUCCUCGGUGGGGCUAAGAAUAGUAUAGAGCUCGGGCAAGAUAUAUGGGCGAUGGAAAAGGAUGUGGAUGGGUUGAAUUGCGUCGUAGUAUCACGUGGGCAGCUGUUAGGUAACAUCUGGAAGUGUGAAGAGCGUAUCUAAGGGGCGGGACGAGUCAUAAUUUGAGAUCAAGAAUGAUUAGCAGUAUUGGGCGGGGGGUGGGCAGUCGGGGUGUUUGGAAAAAGGAUAGUUGAAUGGGAGAGAAAAAAAUUAUAGUCUGGGCAGCAUGAGCGUUGUGGUGGUGUUGAUGUACACACUUAAAGAGACUUAUAACUAUAGUUCAGGGAACCAGCCGGUCAAUCCAAUUUCAAACUGUUUGGCUGAAGCUUAUAUUAAGGGCUUGGAAAUAUCAGUUGUAGUUCCACUAUGCUACGUGAGUUUGGCUCCAGGUAUUGCUCCAGGGCGGUGGAGAGGGGGGCAGGGCGAGCGGGGGUGGUGCUGGCAGGUAUCGUGUAGUAAGUUACUUGCCCUGGCCGGUGAAUUCCAUUCAGGGGAAUCUUUUGUCGCGGCCUGAUAACUCAUGCAUUGCCGGGACUUGAAUUCAUCACUGCACAUAACAUUGCAAAAUAAGUUAUCAUGGAGUGAGCAUGCGGGGGGGGGGGGAGGGCAGGUGGGGGGCGGGGGGGGCGAGUGUAGGUGCGUGAUAUGAGGGUAGGAGUAGUAAUAGGCUACGAACUCUUAACUCUCGCUUAACAUUUCUGUGGUUUGGCAGAGGCCCACGGAGCUCUAACGAGAGUACCAGCCGUUCUUAGCCACGGCGAGUAGCUCAACCGCCUAGGACUGGCUGAGCCGCGUGAGUCUGCCGACUCCUCGUGUCUGAAGUUGGAGGCGUCAUAGAAUGUAUUCCAGAGCGAAUUACUACCCAGAAGUGUGCAGAUUGAGCUCGCGACUGAGCCAGGGUCUGUGAUCGCUACGUGAGAUUAUCUCACCAUCAGCCUGGUACUUGUGAUCUGACCUGACAGCGACCCCGUCCAGGCCCGCUAAACGCCCCCAGGCGCGCUCAGACUCCUCCGACACCGCCUGUGAGACCCCAGAUAGUCCUAUAUAUGAGAUAUAAUAGGGCUAAACUCUUAACCCGGCUUAAGCAUUUUGGGUGGUGGCAAGGCCCAAGAGGUUAAGAAAGUUAAGCGUGCUAGGACGGGAGUAGUCCUAGGAUGGGUGACCCCCUGGGAAGUUGGGGCGUCACAAGUGUCUUGUAGCCAGAGUCCAAGAAGUUGAAGCUGACCUACAGGUUACAAAGAAGCAUCUAUAUAAGAAGCCGACAGACAUACAAUUACAUUGAAUUCAGCAGUAGACCAAUGAGCCAUCAUAAUUGUUUUAAAAAAAUCUUGCCUUUACAUUCAGCUGAAAUGUAGCAAUAAGUAAGCAUAGUUUAGGAUUUGAACUAAUCAAUUAACUCUUCAUUGACUGAGCAAAGUUUAGGCCUUGAACUAAACCAUCAAAACUUUGUAAAAUUGAUUCAAGGAAGGUACAUAAAUAUAACACAGCAGCAGCAGGGAGCAGGGAUGUAUACUAGAACCUCGGGUAAUCACGGUUCCCACAGCAACGGCCAAAGAUCUCGCCGCAAGUAUGGAUGGUACCACAAUUUAGUAGCCAGCAGGUAGCACAACUUCAGGGUAAAGUAUGUCAGGAAAUAUAACAUCGCUGAGGUUACAAGCGGUACAUGAGCAAAAUUAUGUCUCAUUUGAUGGCUCAGGUAUUAAAGGCUAUAGGUAUGCACAGUGGCUCCAUUAUAUAUAUAUAUAUAUAUAUAUAUAUAUAUAUAUAUAUAUAUAUAUAUAUAUAUAUANNNNNNNNNNNNNNNNNNNNNNNNNNNNNNNNNNNNNNNNNNNNNNNNNNNNNNNNNNNNNNNNNNNNNNNNNNNNNNNNNNNNNNNNNNNNNNNNNNNNUUUAAAAUUUCUAGUUAUUCUAACUAACAAUAAUCACUAAAUCAGUGAUAAUAAAAAGCUUAAUAGCCAAUUGCCAAUUAAUCUUAUGGGUUUUAAAAAUACAUACACUACAUACUCUAUAUAUAGCCACUACUAGUACCUAUCGCUGGAUAAAUAUAAAGCUGUACACUACAUACUACACAUACGUCUUAGGACAUUAAAAUUUAAACAAAUUUAAUUCCUGAAACAUAAUCUCUACCGAUAUAAACACGGACGCACGUGUUCGGCUAAAUAAACCUCUGGAUGAUCAAAAAUUUAAUCUUCCAAAACAAUUUGAUCUCAUCAAGAUUUAAAUUUGAUCUAAUCAAAUUAGAUCCUCUUCUUUUAGUUAAAUAAAAAGUAAAUAAAAAAAACUGAUUUCCGUACGGAUGCUACAGUAGCGUCCGUACGGACUGCUACAGUAAAAUCCGUACGGACGCUACAGUAGCGUCCAUACGGUGCUACAGUAUUUAUUUAUUUAUUUAUUUUUUUAAUUGUUGCUUGAAAACAAGAAACCGUUCGAUUAAAUUGUUGAUCACUUUGAUCUUUUCGAAUUAGCCAAAAACGAUCGAUAAAUCGUUCUACCGGUGGAAAAACAGUUUAGAAUACCCAAAUUUAUAAUUUUAAUCUUAAAAACAUGAGGAUGGCUCUGCUACCACUGUUAGAAAAUUGCGUACGGUAAAAACGCAGCGGAAAAAGAAAUCAAACAAAUUUGAUUUUUGAAAACCCUCGAGAUCCAAUCUCAAAAACUACGCAAUUAGGAUCCCUCAUGUCCUUUAAGAUUAAAGAAGAAAAACAAGAUCGAAUCUUUACCUUUUUCGCGGAUUGAUCUUUUCCUCAAUUUGAUGAUCGUGGAAUUCGGUUUUCUUGAAGCUGCACACGCGUCCGGCCUCUAUAGGUAUCCACACGAAGUUCUUGAUUUGAUCGAUGUCCUCACCGGGGUGCUAGCUCCCUUGCAAAAGGACGUCUUUCUUGCUAGAAGAUGGAAGAGAGAAGAGAGGAUAGAUGACGGCUUGGCUUUUCUAAAAACUCCCGUAUAUUAUAUAUAGGAAUAUAAUCCUAUUCCUAAUAAUAUAAUGACAAUUAAGGAUAAGUAUAAAUCUAGAUUUAAAUUUAUCUUUUCCUUAAUUAGUUAGAUCGAUCCAAUCCUAAUUUGAUUCGACUUGAAUUUUAUAUUAAUUUGAUCUUAUCAAAUUAAUAAUGCAAUAUUUGCACAUAAGUCCUCUUAUAANNNNNNNNNNNNNNNNNNNNNNNNNAAAAAGAUAGAUCGCGCAGAGAGAUUACAGAUCACAGAGAAACCAAAAUCCCCGACUGCUUCUCGACUCUUCGUUUGGGAUCCGGUCAACAACUUUCACGUCCCUCUCUACGGAAAGACGUGUCAGAUGCAUCUGAACAUUAACUACUCCAUUUGCAUCCAACAAACGAAGUAUAAACUUGCAUAUCGAGUGCUUUUCUCGAUUCCUAAUUCUAAUGAACAGGAUGUACAGAAUCCUUUAUCUUAUCGUCCAUGCAUGCUGCCGCACCGCCCCCCUUUAUUAAAGACGAUGUUGUAAAUUUGGAGACUGAAUCGAUCGUCUGACUUCUAGGCGAAGAACCAAACCGAGAGAUCAACAUUAGAACUACUCAGUUUGCCUAACAUUAUUAAUUUCAACUAGUAUCUUUUCUGAUUCAAUCUAACAAAGAGAAAACCUCAUAUAAAUAGGUUUAGUUAUGCCCCGAGAUGUAGAAUUUGCACGAAUCCGAUGUCCAACAUUCACAGAACCAAGAAACACUGAAUACAACAUUAGACUACUCUCAGUUGCCCACAACAGUUAUAAAUACUUUGCAAAGAGUAGCAUGUUCGUCUCGAUGCGAAAAGUGUGAGCGGAUAUCACGAUUAUGCGAGAAACAUGAGUAAAAUAUGCAGUAUGCCGCCGAGAGUGUAAAUUUGGAACGAUCGAUCAUCCGACGCAGUUCACGAAGAACCCGCUCUAAGAACAAUCCUGAAAGCAAACCUUAGCAAGUCACGAACUAGUCGCUCAGCUGUGCGGCAAGAAACCACAGACAACGUACUGCAGAUAGAUUCGCCAAUGUCAUACGAUACUCUUGACCUUUUUCAUUCAUCCACAACGUCGGGACGCGAGAGACUAAAUAGAGUGACGAGAACAAAAAGCUUCCUCUUAAUUCAUACGCCACCCCAUUGCCGCGAGAGUGUAAAUUUGGCAAGCGAACUGAUUCAAGAGAACGGUCCACCUCAAAAGAACACCAAACCUCGGCCUCAGAUUUGCGAAACCGUCUCCUUUAUGUUUCGGCUUUUCGGUGUCAAGAGAAACAAUAAUAUUCCACAUUACGCUAUCUAGCCUUACUUAAACAGCUUACUCAGGUUUCGCUCACAUACAGUAGUAAUCCUCCAGAGCACUUGCAACGAGUAGCUUCUCUCAUCCAUUCGAAACAAUAGGAGUACGAAAUACUUUCUAGUUUGAAUAGUCAGCCAGGGUCAGAUCCGAACACCUGUAAAUUUGGAACCCGAACCGAAACGUCUGACGUCUCAUCCCGCACAUGCAAUCGAGAGCCCCCAAAACCAGAACAACAGUUUAUAGUCUCAGCUGCACAGCAUGGUUUGCGAAAAGGUGGCCCCACCUUAUCAACUAGCUACUGAGGUAACAAAUUAGGUUUUCCUUCACGAAACUAAGUGAGUUCGUUUUCUAUCUAUCUCCAAAGGAUCUACAGUCUCAAAGACUACAACACGAUGUAAAACCUAAUUAACACUACAUUCUUCUAACUUCUGCUGCCGAGAGUGUAUAAUUUGGAACGAAAUCGGUUCAAGAAAACGUUCACGGCCAAGAACCUCCAACUUUCCCAAAACACCUCUCUCAAAUGUUGGUGGGUUAUAAACUCAUAAAAUUUCAUUAGAGCUGUUCUAACAUUCAGACCUACAUGCAUGUCACACAGUUGCUGCACCCAACAACGUAGCUCGGGCCAUGUAUAGCGUAUCAAGCUGCGCCGCAUACACACGCAGGUAGAACCGCUUUUUUCUAUUCUAUUGAAACAUGGGAGUAAAAAUCUUUCCCUAUUAUGCCGCCGACGAGUUGUAAAUUCUGGGAAAGCGAAACGCUACGUCCGACCGUUCGAACGGCGCAACUGAAUUCGCCGGCGGGGAACUGCCAACAAGAACAGACAUUAUAGAGCUAUCCUACUCAGGACGCGCCCAUAAACAGUAUAAGGCAUUGCAACGAGUACUCACUUCUUUCACCAUUGCGGACUCAGAUGGACAGAGGGUAAAAGCUGCUCUCCGUAUCUACCAUGUCCCUCCAGCAGUGUCACAACUAUGCUACCGGAACGAUCGAUUCGAUGUCAACGUUCAAUAAAAGCCUAAAUCCGGAACAACGUUAGAUUAGCUACCAGUGCUCGCGUAUAUGCCAGCUCUGAAGGUUUCUUUUCUCAUCGUAUCCAAGCGAUCCCGAAUCCAUCGGAUGAUACCAUAAUAUUCUAUUGACUGCCUCCGCGACGCCUCGCGAAGGACCGCUGUGACUAUAUUGGAACAAUCGACGUGGCGACGUUCACAAGAACCAAAACGAGAACAACAUUAAGAUCUACUGCCCAGUUUGCCCGCCGUCGAAUCGACACAAACAUACAUCGCUUGUGAGCUCCAACUAGACAUAGAUGCUCCUUGUUUCUCUGAUCGUCAAUGCUAACAAAGAGUCAUAUAUACCACGUAGACCUUAAAAUUGUCUCCUAAAUUUAAUGGGUCAGCGACAAGCUGCUCCCGCCUUCCGAGAGGCACAGAUAUCCUGGGCAUAUGCCGUAAACUCGAGACUCUUCAACUUAAGGCUACUCGACUCCCGCAGAGAAGCGAGGCCGUAACCAAAACGCGUAACAUACAUUAGACUACUCAGUUGAGCACCACAACAGUAUAACAUUGCAACUAGUACUUUUUCUCAUUUAUUGAACAUUGGGAGUAAAAUCUUCUAUUUAUGGCCCGCGCGAAGAGUGUAAAUUGGAAAACGAACGAGGAGCAGACCCGAUUCACACGAAACGUUCAGACGCUCUUAGGCAUUGCAAGUCCAUGCGACAAAGCAAAACCCAAAGCAAUCACGACAUAUAGACUUAUCUAUCUCAAUCAUCACAAGAGACUUUUGCCUGGCAGACCCAAAUCACAGCAGUAUAACUGUGCAAAAACAUAAAAGUAGCAACGACUGUCUUUCAUUCUAUCGAAACAAACUAGAACAGGGAGCAAAGCGAGAAAAGUCCAAUGUUCUAGCGGGUAUGAGCGCCGACGCAAGAUGGAUGCAUCAGUUCUGGACCGUUUAGAACGUUUCUGGCGUUCGUACAGCGAAUCCGACACUUCGACAACAUUCACAAGACCCAGCUACGAGCCGAGAAAGGCUACGUACACUCUGAUCCGUCCUCUAUAUCACAACACAGGGAACGGGCAGAGGACACACACGAAACAUUUACGAACCCAAUGCAAAUUCACUUCGCCAACCGCCGAUGUCAACGUUCACCAUGAUCACGUCCCCUAUACCCUUAGGGUUUAGCCAACCUACUGGUCCCUCACAGGUACUAUCACAAAAACAGACACUCUUUACUUGCUUCGGUCUGUAUAACUGAUAACCACGAUUAGUCUGUCCGACCCCCCGACGAGGCCCCGCGGGCCGCCCCCGUCCACUUGGCAAACAAGUCAGCGUCUUUCUACCAUGUCUUAUAGUGAGAUCCAUGUAGCGAGUAGAAAUCCUUCUAUUAGUCCGCCCUCCCGCGGAGUGUGAAAUUGAAGCGAAUCGAGAGCCUAGCUCCGACAUUGUGUCCGACCAGCUAAGAGCGCCGGGCGGUCGAACAGACGCGCAACCGAAGCGGACAGGAGACAAUCACCCACUGUCACAAUCAACAUUAGACGCAAGCUAAACCAAAAAUCUUCGAUCAUUAUAUAGUAAUUUACCACUCAUCAUUGCAGACCCAAAAAUAUCGCAAUAGAUAGAAGCAUCAAUCAAGCGAGUAUCUUUUUCUGCAUAUCUGAUACUAAUGACGCAUCCCGAGCACAGUACAGCAGAAACGCACGUAACGACAGAGCAAGAAUUACAAGUAGGAAGUUAUACCAGCAUACACCGUAAAAAAAGAAGAACGACGUAUAUUUCAUUAAUCAUUCCCUAUUCUUUAAAUCUUAUAUAUAUAUGUCAAUCUCUAGCAAGAGGGUGUGAAAUUUUGGAUACGGUAAAUGCAAUGUUCAGACGUUCACGCAAGAAACCUCUUUACAUUCUUCAUAAUAUAGCAUAAUGAACCUAGGCACUCAAACAACAUUUCAGCGACUACCGCUACUCAAUUAGGCAGUCAACAUCUUCUAGGAAUAAAAUCUCUAAAUCAAAAAAGGGUGCAGGGCUAAUGCAUAAGGGAGGUAGCUCACAAAUCAGAGACGAAACACAGGUUGAGCAAGCGCAGUACUGAUUAUUCUCAUUCUAUUCAGGACAUGGAUAAAAUGCUUCCUAAUUAUAUGCGUGUGCCUGCGCCUUGUAAGAAGCUGAUAAGAUAUGGAACGAAACAACGAUCCUCACGCUCAACGUCGACCGUUACAAAUCCGGAAGCGACUUGAAACCUCCCCGAAAAGACAGAACCUGACAAAGAGUGGGUAGAGAACAGAACAACAAUUAGAACUACCAGUUCGCCAAAAAACAGUAUAAACAUUGCGCCAUAACGAGUAGCUCUUCUUAUUCUAAUCGAAGCAAAGCGGGUUAUAAAACUUGCUAUUAUCGCACCCCGAGAAGUGUAAUAUUUGGCAACGAUUCGAUUGUCAUAACCGUUCACCAAGAACUCAAAUCGGAACAAGCGUAGACUACUCAGUUGAGUCUAACAUAUAAAUUGCAACUAGUACUUUUUCCUGUUCAAUCGAACAAAGCCGACCCAAACCUAAUUAUAUUGUUCUAUUAUGCCCCGGAGAGUGUAAAUUUGGAACGAUUCGAUCGUCAAACGGUUCAAUGAAAUAAACAAAAUCGGGAUAGCAACGUUGUCUUGUUCGUGAACUAACUUUUUAGUCCCAGUAGGGUCGGGGCCGCCGACUCCAGCCGAAAUACACUCACUAGGUCCAAAGCGGCAAAAGAGAUAACCGGAUAUAUAGAUGGAUAAGGAAAGCUUAAAGACACGGAAAGUAAAGCUACACUACUGCCCAAAAUCAUAGAUAACAUGAUGCAUGUUCAAAUAAAACGGUAAGCAACUAACCUGUAUCGAUGGUCAAGGGUAAAUCUAUGUACUUGUCAUCAAUCUCAUUACUGUUCUUAAUCUCGUGGCUUUCCUCUGAUGGUAGCCACUGCUCAACUUAGCCAUACUCGAAAGGAGUGAGGUCAACUCGCACUAUGGUAACGAAUCCAACCGAGACCGGUCGUACGGGCCUAAAAUAGGCAAUCCUUGGACCCAAAUAGGCAAUCCCACGUGACCAAAUCCAGGAGCGCACUACUUGUGUGGGCUUUCCCACACAAGAUUUAAAACGGACCGGACAUGAUCCCAAUCCUCGUCUCGAUAAAAUACCCUUAUCCUCAGGGUUACAAUCAUUACAUAUAGCCCAUAGGUCACAUAACACUACGAACCAUAUGUGUCAUUUGUUCUUUUGCUUACUGUAUCAACGAAUAUGCCACUGCGCCAUUGUUUUAAUCCGUCUAGGAUGCCGACUGUCGUUCUUGUGCAUCAUUAAGCCCACCAUUGAGCCCAUCACUUUCUCUGGCACUAUAGGAUUCACAAGGUCUCGACCCAAUCCUUAUCAAUCCACUAAUAUAAGUACCAUGCAUGCUACCGAUAUCAUCAAAAGAAAGCAUAAGUGAAAGGCAAUGCACAAUCAUCCUAAAUUAAUGCAAUAAUACUAAUUCAGAAUCGAAAUCGUACUAAGGCCCUGUUAGGAUCGCGGGAUCACACAAAAAAAAUUGUGAUUAGCGCAUUCAGUUUUGCCGCUGAAAUCAAAUAAAUUGCUGCAAACUUUAGCGCGCAUUAAGCUUUAAUGCCGAUUAUAACCGUGUAUGUAAAUCUCUACCUGGCAUUAUAAAUAGAUUGCCGUUAAAUGUUCAGUAAUUAGUGACAUUAAAAAAAUGCGUCGUUUAUAUGAGAUACUAUUACCCUGACAUUAAUCUAAAUCUUUGUAUUUGUUAGUUAUUCCGGCACCUAAUAAAAGAUGGCCGAAAUAUUAUUAUAUAAUAUUGCAAAUUAUAUAAAUGCUAUAUUUAUUUUUUAUUCCAUAUUAACUAAAUCCGGUAAUUCUUAUUAUUUGUAAAUAUAAAUUAUUAUUUAAAUUAUUAUGCCUUCCUUAAACAGAAUAAAAAUUAAUAUAAACAUAAUACAUUUACUAUCUAUAUUUACAUAAUAUUAAAAAAUAAUAGAGUUAUUAAAUAAAUAUGAUUUUAAGUAUUUUCAUAUAAAUAGAAAAUAUAUGCAUUGCAUAAGAAAUAAACACAAAUUAUUUAAUAAGUCCCAUUCCCAGUAAUAAACAGAUAAUAAUUAAAAUCUUGUAAUACAUUCAACAUUCAAAAAAUAACACAAGAAGCACGAAAAUUUUCUAAACAUCAAAAUUAAUAAUGCAUAAGUAGUUGCCAACAUAACAAAAUAAGAGUUGGCAACAUCAAAAUAACGCAGCCAAAAACAAAACUGGUCACGAUCACAUAAUAAUAGUUUCGAUAUAACAAAAAAAUAUGUUUGCGAACACAGUUGUAGAAAUAAGCAUCCAACAACAAAUGGUCACAUGGACAUAAAGUAGAUUGCGAACAUAAAUCAAAAUAGCCAUAAAAAUGAUUUAUAUUUCUUGAUAUCCAUGCAUCUUACUUACGUGACCGUGAAAAAAUAAAACACAUUAAAAGUUAUAUUUAACGAGUCAAUAAUCUAUAUUAGAUGAUAAAAAUCAAAUUAAAAUAUAAAAUAAAAUAAAUCUUAUACAAAUUAAAUUGGCCAAGCCACAGUUCUCCGACGCAUCCCAAUUGUUUGAAAUUCGAUAGAUUCUUAAUAACGGCUCGUAUAGGUCUCUAUUGAACAUUUAUUGAAACACUCCCAGCAUUGAUGAUCCAAACUCGGCGCCACCGUAUUUUAGUAGUUGGAUUUGUGCUCAACAGAACCUUGUGCACAUAAUGUGAGGCUUUCUUAAAACUCUUUAUAUACUCAAUCAACCCCUGAUAUUCAGUAAAGAAUAAAGAAAUAUAGUUUAAUUUUAAAAAGUUAAGACUAAUGCAUUAGUUAUCAAAUAUAUCACAAUAAUAUAUCGAAAAAUAAAGAUUAAAACAGAUAUUGGAAAUAAUAUUGAACAUAUAACUAAAAAAUAAAAAUUGAGAUUUUGUAUGCAUAAGAAAUCAAGAAACAAGAAGAAUCAAAAUAAUAAUAGAAAAGAUAACCCCAUUAUCUACGCAAGCAUGGACAUCCUUUCCAGCACUUUUGCUCGAUAACCCUUGCCAUUCAAAUAUCAUAAUGUUGACAUCAUAUGGAUCUACUGCAUAUAAUAUUUUAUACAAGAAAUAUUAAAAAUAAUAAAAUAAAUUCAACCUGAUUUCGGAACCUCAAAGCCAAUUCAGAAGAAUUGGAUUUCAUUACUUGCGUUCUACGAAGGGAAUUUAAUUGCCAUUCUACAAAGAAAAAAGAAUACUGAUUAGAUGAUCUAUCUCAUAAAUUAAAUUAGCCUUUUUAUAAAUCAAAAUAAACAUAAAAUGAUCAAACUCGCAAUUUACUUGCACUUGCCUAUGGAUAGAUGUUCCUAUUUGGAUUAUGAUGGGAAUUCUCUACCUUGCAAUCAUAUUCAAGUCUGUGAUUUUUUUCCAUUGUUCCCAACCGUUUGCCCGUCAAUCAUCGACAUUUCUUCCUCAUUAUCAAUAAUCCUUUGCAUUACAUGUUCUCUGGCUCAUCUAUCCUUAGUUUCAAAAGCAUUUAGCAUUCAGUUCGAGUUGGAUGGCGGCCAAGACCUUCUCUCUGAGGAGCAACACCUCAAACCCGACCAACCGAACCUAAUUUCACGUUUUUCGCUCCUCUAAGCCAUCACUUAAAAAUACUCGAGAUGUAUCUUUUUGUGCAACUUCUGGAUGAUGAGAGAAAAUUUUGUUAUUGCAACCAUACAAAAAAAGACAAAAUGAGAGAAUACUAUUUUGAGAUAAUAGAUAUAAAUUUAAUGUGUUAAAAACAUAACAAGUUUGAACUUCGCAGCUUACAGAGCUUGCCAAUUCUUUUUAGUAUGCGUUUUUAUAUAUAGUAUCAUGUCUUUUAGGUGCAACUUUAUCCACUCGUCAUCUAGUAACAUGCAUAGAAAGUUAGUUUGUGUAAGAAAAAUAUAAUAACAGAAUUAAAUACAAAAUUUGAAAUAGGAUAUCGAUUCCCAUAACCUCCUGACACGAAACCUUGCAAAGCUCUUGUGCCUGCAUAUCUUGAAUCUUCUUGCUUCGCACGAGUAUCUUUAUUUUUUGCACUACGUUCCUACAAUAACAAAAGACAUAUAAAGACUUAAAUCCCAAACAGCAACUAGAAAAUUACAAUAUGAAUAUAUAUAGAAAUGUCUAAUCACUAAUUUGCAGUUUUCACUUGCAUAGAUACGAUAAUUCAAAUGAAAACAUAUCAAAAAGCACACAAAAUUCUAAUAAUUAAUUCUUAAUGGCCAACACGCCGAUCAGAAUUCCCAUACUUGACAAGAAUUCGCAUUCAUGAUAAGCCGCGUGAAUCACGGUCUGGCUAUCUUUCCAGCUAAAUGGUAGGUCGUAGUGGGCAGUUCUUCAACAUCCAUUUUGAACUCUCUCCAAUUUUUUCCAAUCACAUCAAUAACCCAUCUCCUUCCUUUCGUCUGGAAUUUUGAACUUUUUCUGCAUUAAAAGAUUAGAUAAUAGUUGCAAAUAUCAAUAAUACAAAGAAAUCACUAUAAAUAUUAGUAAUUCUACCUGUAUCGAUGUUCACAUAAUUUUUAUCUGUAUUUGGAACAGUCUCGCCAAUCUCUAUGACUAAGAGAGUUAUUUGCGCAUUUCUCGGCUAUGGAGCCCCAAAAAAUUGCUAAGAUGUGCUGAUUUCCCAAUCGGUUGUCCAUUAGCAUUGAAUUUGACCUUCAUAGGUUUUGUCCUUUUAAACAGUUUUGAGCAACAUUGUACCCCUCGCUAUUCUUUCGAUGCAUUGUUGAACCUACUUAAUUGAAAAAAUUAUAUAUCAAGAGAAUCAUACCUAAUAAUAAUUGGACAACCUUGAUAAGAUAUAUAAUCACAAACGUCAAGUCAGUAGAUGUAUAUAUACAGUAAGAGAAUAAAAAAUGUAGCCAAGCUCUCCGCAUUUGCCUUCUUCUCAGAAUCACACAGAGUCAUCCGUUCUUCAGAAUAAAUUUUCUUCAAAAGUCAGCUGCGAAUUAUUAUUUUGAUCGCCUAGAAAUCACCAUGUAGAAAAGUGCGACUAGAAUCUGAUUAAGCGGGAGUUCAUGCAUGAAUGAAGUAAUCAAAAGAAGGUUCAAUGAGAAUACAGUUGGAAGCAUUGAGGCGACGAAGCAAUGAAACAAGCUAAUUUGGCUCCAUGUAAGAUUUGUAACAUAAUUGUAUCUUUCGUUUUUGGGAGACAGAUUUUUCUUUCAGCCAUGAUUUGGUUCAUUCGUCCAGUCUCAACUUUGUUGAAUGAUUGAUAGUUCCGUUGAUAGUUGGGGACCGGAUUAUCUUGGCGGCAAAUUUGAAACCCAACUGAGAAAAAUACAUGUAUGAAGGUUGCUCGGCCAAGGUUUUGAUCUGGAUUUGGUAAAGAUUGUCCUAGUUAAAAGCAUUCAUGUCAUACCUCCUUGAUUGGAGAUGGGUCGCUGUGAAACUUUCUCUUUACCAUUCUUAUUCUUCUUGGAUUCCUUGUAUUAAACAAAUUUCAAGAUAUAGCAAAUAGUUUUAUCAAGUUCACAUGAAAGAAACUCAUAUAAUGAUUAAAUAUCGUAACAACUGUGGAUGAGCUCACAAAGAAUCAUAUAAAAUAGUAAAAGUGUGUAACAUAUAGAUAUCACAUAAAAUCAAAUAUGAAUACACCUAAAUUAACGAUGGAGCCAUUUAACGCAGUCGUCAUGUCAAUUAUGAGAGCUUGCCGCAUCAUGAAAAGUAUUGUUCCAAUCACAUACAUUAUUAGAGGAUGGCAAUUGUAAUUCAGGGCACGUCAUCAAUUUCUAUCAAUUAAAUUCUUCCUUCUGCUUCAUUUUGCUAGUACCGAUAUAUUUUUCUAAAUGUAGCCUCUAUGUCAUUCUGUCGAAACUUCUGUGUCUGCAAUAUCAAAAAAGCUCUAUGGCUUUGUAUAAUAACAACUUCCAAUCUUCCUCGACGGGGUCCUUGUAUGUAGAAGACGUGUUUGCUACAAGCUAGUAUGAAUGGUCAUCCUAACAUUGAGUCACUAGUAAAUAAUAGUCGAUUGAAAUUUACUAGCGAAACCCAAAAUCAGCUUUUCUCACUUCUCUUGGCCAUAGGAGUGAAUAUCGCCCAGUCACAUUGAACAAUGUUUAUUUUGAGGAUGUUGCUCGAUAGUAAUUUACUCCCAUAAUAAUCAUUAAGAAACCAUAGUAUGUAACAUCUCCUGCUACUGGAUUUGGUCUUUGUGCAUGGCAUAACUUUGAUGUACAGCACGGACGGACAAUGCCACUAUUUUGAUUUUCUAUUUGCUUCACAAAUCUUUAGUGUGAAACUAAAAGCAUUUUUAUCACAUAACUUAAAUCUCCUGUGCUCUAAUUAGGGCCUCAGGCCAAUCACAUGAUUUCUGUGGAAACAGCUCACUCGUUGACAUCAACUAAUCUGAAAAUUUAACACAUAAUUGAUGUGAUCAUUAGUACAUUUCUAAUACACUAUAGAUAUCACUUCAAACGAAUACAGCUGUAACAUGUUAACUUACAUGCUCUUUAAACCAUAUAUAAAUGCUCACUGUGAUACGCUCAUUGCUUCCUAUUCGCAUCAUGUCAGACGAUUCGAACUCUGAUCAUGUCAAUAAUUUUCUACAAGUUAAUGUAACAAAAAGCUCGUUUAGAAUAUCUAAAAAUAAUAAGCUAAUAGAAAUUAUUUGGUUAUUGACUAUCAUUAACUGAAGGUACGUGGUGGAGAUACAGCAUCACAAUUGAAGAGCACAUAGCGAUGUGCUUUGCACUCACGAAGUUUCAUCAAAGAUAAGACAUGCUCACAUGUCCGCUAAUUGGUAAUAGACCUUUUGAUGAUAAAAGGAACACAUGGUUGCUUUUCUAAUUCUAACCCGUCCCUUCAUUGUUCGUUUUGGGCGAUUUAAUCUUGGUUUCAACAGGCCAUUGAAAAAUGUGAAGCAAAAUGUAAACUUUCUUCGCCAAAUACCCCUUCAGCAAUUGACCCUGUCAGGAGGAACUUCGAUACGCACGUAUAAUGUUCAAGUUGAAAGAAACCUAGAAAACAAUUUAAUAAGAUGCAUAUGAGUAAUGUGUAGUCUCUAAAUAUGUAAUAAAUCAUAAUAUGGUAGAAGAAAUAUAUUUGCUUAUGAAUUACAUCAUAUGAAAAAUAUGGCCCUAAUAAGAAAUAAUUAAUUAAUAUUUUAAGCAUUCAGGCACCAUUCAUUUCAAAUAUAACUACAGUUCCAAAACAUUGUCUAAAUACACUUCACCUAGAAGACUUGUUGAUUAAUAUUUAAGUACCUUUCAAUAGGAUACAUCCACCGAUAUUGCACGCCUGCAAUCCUUGCUUAUAUCUAAUGUAUAGCCAAAUGAACAUUAAUCAAAAAAAGAUGGGGAAGAUAUCGCUUCUAAAUUUGCAAAAGUUUCAAUGCAAUUGAGUUUCUCCAGUUGUUGAAUUCGUUUCCUCUAAUAGAUUUGAGCAAAUUUCUCGGUGAAAAAGCUACUAAUUCCAUGAAAUUCAAGCUCACAUUUCUUAGGCAAAAAACUUCGCACGCUACAAGGAAGUAUUGUGCCCUGCAUCAAGAUAAUGGUUAUCAGACAUUUUUAGCCUAUAAUUUUUUGAAGUAGAAGUUAGGUAUAAUCCUUUAGAUUGCAACACAUUUUGAAAUAUUGUCUUGCGUACCAGUCAGGAACUUGACUUCGACUUCAGUAUUGAAGAAUAUCUUUUCUUCAUAGAAAGUGAGUUAGCAAGCAAAGGAAUUAAAGUUUUUGUUCCAUUUUUGCCUUUAAAUGAAGUGAGCUCCCGAUCCCCAUAAGUUGGCAAAUCAAGACGAGUUUAAUAAUUCUUUGUUUUGCCAUCAAGUGCCUCAAUAUUGUCCAAAGCACAUUAUCACUAAUAUUUUUCUCAAUGUGCAUUACAUCUAGAUUGUGACGUAGAAGGAGCUUUUCCCAAUAUGGUAAGGAAAAAAAUAUACUUCUUUUCUUCCAAGAAUGAGGUAAAACUUGUCUUUUACCUUUCUUUCUCUUCCCUUUAUAACCACCAUCAUUUUUCUUACCAAAUAUAUUCUCAAUGUCCUUCAUUUGAUUUAAUAGUUUAGAGCCAGAUAAUGGAACAGGUGCAUCUCUAACUUCUUGGUUCCCAUCAAAAGAUAAUCUAUCACGUCGAAAUUUGUGGUUCUUUUCUAAAAAUCUACGAUGACCCAUAUAGCAUAAUUUUCGACUGUGUUUUAGAUAACGAGAAUCAGUAUCUACAUUACAAGAAGGACAUGCCAAUCGUCCUUUUGUACUCCAUCCUGAUAAAUUUGCAUACGCAGGAAAAUCACUAAUAGUCCACAAUAAUGCGGCAUGCAUUUGAAAAUUUUGCUUCAUAGAGACAUCAUAAGUGUACAGACCAUUCAACCAAAGAUUAUUCAACUCAUCUAUUAGCGGUUGUAAGUAGACAUCAAUAUCAUUUCCAGGUGCAUUUGGGCCAGGGAUAAGCAAAGACAUUAUCAAAUAUGGUUGUUUCAUACACAUCCAUGGUGGCAAAUUAUAUGGUAUUUUACUGGCCACGUGCUAUGCGAUGUACUCAUUGAUCUAAAAGGAUUGAAGCCAUCACUUGCUAAGCCAAGCCUUACAUUGCGAGGUUCUAAAGAAAAUUCUGGGUGUUGAAAAUCAAAAGUUUUCCAUUGUGGAGAAUCAGCAGGAUGUCUCAUAACUCCAUCAUUACUUCGAUGCUCAUGAUGCCAUCUCAUUAAUGAAGAAGUUCUUGAUGACAUAAACAACCUUUGUAGCCUAGAUUUUAUAGGAAAGUGUCUUAAAACCUUUGCUGGAAUUUUUCGAGUUGCUUUUCCAGAAGAAUUGGAUGUAUCAAGUUCUACAUUACUGUCAUUUGCUUUCCAUCUUGAAGUACCACAAAUGGCACAUGAAUCUGCAUUUGCUGUAGCCUUAUAGUACAAUUGACAGUCAUUUGGACAAGCAUCGAUUUUAUUGUAACCUAAACCAAGGUCAUUAAUAAUUUUUUUUGCUUCAUAGAAAGAAUCUGGUAGCGUUUCACCCUCCGGGAGCGCCUCUUUUAGCAAAAAAAGUAACAUUGUAAAUGAAUUAUUGGUCCAUCCAUUUAGACACUUUAUGUGAAAUAAACGAACAAUAAAUGAAAGUUUUGAGAACUUCUUGCAACCAGGAUAUAAUUCUUUCUCAGAAUCUCCAACUAGUUUGUAAAAUUUUUUAGCUUCUUCAUUAGGAUCUUCAUUUAAAUCUUGUUCUUGUGUUGCUAUCUCCUCUUCAACUACAUCAAACAUACCAAAUGCUUCAUUUAGCAUACCACGCAUGUCAUCAUUUGUGUUAAGAUUAUCAUAGUUGUAUGUUGAGGACGGUGAUGUAAUAUCUUCUCCAUGAUAAAUCCAAGAUGUGUAUCCUUCCAAAAAGCCAUCACAUAUUAAAUGCUCAAGAACAGUAUCCUUAUUUUGCCAAAAACAAUUAGCACAUCUUUUGCAAGGGCAAAGAAUUGAUCCUUCUCGGACUGCUUUGAGAAAUGCAAAAUCAAGAAAGUUCAAAACUCCAUCAAGAUACUUCUUGCUCACCCUAUAUUUAUUUAAGUGGAUGUGGGUUGAUAUGUCAAAAUAAUAUAUUUCAAAUAAGGCCAUAUUUUAUAGCUUGAAAAGUAGUACUAAACCAAACCUGGGUUCAUUCAUCCAACUCUUAUCCAUAGAUUGAUGUCUAAUAUGCUGGCAAAUGGACCAAAAAAUUCCUUGCUAUCCUAAUUAAACAAAACUAUUAGCCCAAAUUUUUAAAAAUUUGAAAAUUAAAUUGCAUAAAAAGUUGGAUACCAAAGAUUAAAAAUUAAAUCUAAAUCACAAUUUAAACUCAAAUUUAAAUUUUAAUGUAAAAUAGAUGAAUCGAAGUCCUAUUUUUUAACAAAUUGAUUAUAAUUGUUUAUUUUUAUUUGAAAUGUUUUUAAUAAAUUGAUCAUAACUAUUCGCAGAAUUGAUUUUAUCGAUAGAUUUGAAUGUUUUUUUUUUAACAGAAUCGAUCAUAACCGUUCGUUCUUAUUUAAGAUAUAUUUUUUUUUACAAAUUGAUUAUAACCAGUAAAUAUUCUUUUAUUCAUUUUCAUUCCAUUUGUUAUUUUUAUAUGCUUUUAUAUAUAGUAUAAAUAUAGAUAGGAAUGCUAUUUUUUAAUAGAUAGAUAAUAACUGUUCAUUUUUAAUUUAUCGCAAUCGUUUGUAAACUCGAUAUAAAUUAAAAUUUUAACAGAUUUGUCAUAACCGUUCGUUUUUAAUUCAUCACAACUGUUGAAUAGUUCAAAUUUUAUACCCAAAUUAAAUUUAAUUUUCAAUUUAAACUUUUUAAAUUUAAAUUUAUAAUAAAUUUAAUUUUUGAUUUAGAUUACAAUUUUAACAGAUUGAUCAUAACCGCUCGUUUUUAUUUAAAAUAUUUUUUAACAGAUUAAUCAUAACCAUUUAUAAAAUUUGAUAUGUUGAUAGAUAAGAAUGUUAUUUUUUAAUAGAUUGAUCACAAUCAUUUAUUUUUAUUUAAGAUAUUUUUUAACAACUUAAUUAUAACUGUUGGUAAAGAAUAUUUUUUUAUUUUUUUAAUUACGUCUGUCAUAAUGUCAUUAUAGUAUAGAUAUAAAUAAGUAUGAAGUGUGAAGAAAAUUAUUGUUAAAUAAGUUAUUAGAUAAGAUGGAAUAUAGAUAUUAUGUAGGCAAUAGUUAUUAGGAGAUAGAGUGCGUGUAUAAAAGGUAAAAUUUGAUACACACUGCGUGAGAGUAAUUUAGGUAAAAAAAUUGACAAAUACAUAAUUCGUCAGUCAUUGAAUUAGAUUCAACGACUAAAAAUUAAUAAAUUUUAUGAUAAUUUGAAAAUAAAAUAAAAAUUAUAUUUUAUAAAUAGUAUAGAUAUAUAGUAAAGAGUUACUAUGUUAUCGGAAGUAUAAAAGAUUUAAUGUUUUCGAUUUUUUAACCCUUAGAUCAAGAAUUGUACAGUUGGGAUAAUUGCGGUCUCCGCUAAGAUUGAGUAGUACGCAUAGUUAGUUAAUUCGGAUUCGGCAAAAAUUCGGUAAAGGUAUAAUUCGGAUAAAAUUCGUCUUCUAAUUUUUAAAUUCGUUGAAAAAAANNNNNNNNNNNNNNNNNNNNNNNNGUAUUCUUCGAUGCUUGUGUUGAACCUACUUAAUGAAAAAAAUAUAUAGCAAGAGAAUCAUACCUAAUAAUAUAAUUCGACUAAACUUUGAUUAAGAAAUAUAAUUCACAAAACUUUGAAUAGUUCUUUUUUCCAAAUAGAAAAUUUUCUUUCAUAACCAAUAGUCCAUAUAAAUAUACUAAUAUUCUAAUUUACAAAAAUUACCAUAUUACAAUAUAAAGAGAUUCUUCUAUACUUUAUUUUUCUUUUCUCAUCGCCGUCCUUCUUUACUCAAUCAACAGUUGAGAUCUAUGGAAAUGACCGGCUAUCCAUAUUAUAAUUUGGUUUAGAUUUGUAGUUAUCUAAAUUAAAAUUAAAUCAUAGUCUAAUUAGAAUAAGAUAUAAUUUAGAUUUAAUUUGGCCUAGAUUAUAAGUAGUAGUAUAACUCUAAUUGAAUUAAAUUAUAAUUACACUUGUGUUUAGAAGCUAUGUAUUAUACAUAUAUGUUAUGGCCAAACUAAUGAUGUCGUGACUUUAAUUAAGCCAUGCAUGUAUUGGAGAGAGGUGACCGAUUUAACCAUUUUGUUUUGGUCUGCACGAUGGAGAGCCGGAACUCAAAUUGGAAACUAUCCUCUAAUUAAUUAAUCAAAAGGUGAGAAGGCCGUAUGGAUUUCUUCUUUAGGGUGCGUCGUUCCGAGUCGGAAUGUAUUGAAGGACAUAUGUGAAGUGCCGUAUGCCGGAAAGCGCAGCGAAUAUAUUUAUUUUGGUUUUGGGGUGAGCCGAUCCUAGUACACCUGAAAAUAUUUAGUAUUUAUAGAUCCUGAUGGAUUAUAAAAAAUUUAUAGUUAAUAAAAUAAUACUUUUCAACAUAACAAAGAAAAAAAAUAAAAAAACGUCAAAAUCCCUCUAUAUGGCAUAGAAAAAUAAACAUAUAUCGUAACGACUAAACAGAAAAUAAAUAAGAAACUUUUCUUUUCAGAUAUAUCCUAUGAUAUUCUAAUACUAUAUACUAUAAAACUUCAUUAAAAUCUAAUUUUUUUUAAAAAAAUCAUAAAAAUAGAAAAAUAAUACUAUUAGAUAUUUCUUAGAUUAUAAAAAUCUGUAAAAAGAUUAAAGAUAGCAUACCAGAUUACACCACGAUCAGAAAUAAAUAUGAUGGCGACUUAACCCUAAAAAGAUGAGGAUGAGGAGGAAGAUGAUCAGGACUAAACCCUAAAAGGAUGAGGAAGAAUAUAUUUGGGAUUAAACCCUAAAAGGAUGGGGAGGAAAAUAUUUGGGAAAAAACCCUAAAAGGAUGGGGAGAAAAUGAUCGGACGAAACAAAAGGGUGAGGCAGAAGAAGGAGGCGGGAGGGGAAAAUAUUGGGAAUCCACAUAUUUAGAAUUUAAGACCUUUUACCAAUAUUUAAGUUUAAAUGCCGGUAAUUAAAUACUCUUAGCGGCACUAAAAUUAACUGCCGAUAUUUAAAUUAUCUUUUAUCGGCAUUUAAAAAUAAAUACCGCUAAAUAUUAUUAUUUACCAAUAAUAAAUUAUAAAUGUCGAUAAAUGAUAUAUUUAGCAACAAUUCUUUGUAAAUGCCAAUAUAUUUUGCAUUUACCAAUAUUUAAAUAAAUAUUGCUACAAAUAAUGCCGCUAUAUGUCAAAUUUCUAGUAGUGAAUACUUCGGUGUUGAUGGAGCGGGGGGGUCUGAGUCGCAGAUCGGGUGGAAAGGCGAGCCCACGACCCGGCGGGCGCUGGAUAGUGCGGAGAAGAAGGAACCGAGAACCGCUUACCCGUUAUCUGGAGUUCAUGGACCAGGAGAGUCCCAGCGGAGGCCCAUCAACCACCAAAUAGCAGCCUAGCAAGCCACAUUCCGAUUUACUAUCACAUUUGCUGUUUAGUCCUUACUUAGUUGCUAAUUUCCUUUCAGUACUGAUAUGAUAGGUAGUAUAAAUAGCCAAAAUGUAAUGUAAUCGGGUUAUGAUGAAAUAUAUUACAAGUUCUUCUUCCCCAAUUCCUCUCUUAUUCUCUAUCUCUCUUCUAUCCCUAACCCUCUCAACUCUCCUCCCUUCUCUCUUCUUAUCCUUCCCAAUUCUCCCAAACUUCACCUUCUAUUUCCCCUAAUUCCUCACAUUACUUGCAAUCAUAAGAGUUCCCUAGCUCGGAAGCUCCCAAUCAUCCUCUCCGCCGUACCGGCCUCAGCGAGAGCUCAUUAUCGGCGGUUGCCGAUCGUCAGGGUCCUUACAACUCGGUAUGAGAGCGGCACCAUCCCAGGGGCUGUGGGGCGACUAGCUUCAACAGUCGCGAGACUAUGGGAGGCUCAGCAACUGUGGGGAAUUACUCCGAGCAAUUGGCGUGCACGAGCAUCGGACCUCAGCUAAGCAUCACAGGCUCCUCGGUAGAGUUACUGUAGCAAACCUUCAUACCGUUUCAAGCAAACAGGGAGCAUACAGAGAAGAUCGAAACUUAAAUAAACAAAAGCAGCAAUUGGGAAAAGAAGUCAAAACCAAUUCACUUUCACACCCUUUAGUAAAAGAAUAGUGGAGGGUACCAGGAUGAGGGAUUUGAGCGACUACAUUAACACCCUGGAAGAGAGGUUGCAGCAUUUAAAUACCGAUCAUGAGGCACAGAUCACCGGACUGGCCCAACAGUUAGCCACGGCCAGGGAAGAAGGGAAAUCGCAACACGAGGAGAUGCUGAGGAUGUUUGCCGCAUUGCAAUCGCAGCUUCAUUCCGUACAAUUUCCCCUAGUGAGCCCACCUGAAGGAAGAAGCCAAGAGCAUGCUCGACUUGGAAGUAGUAACACUCCAAUACAUGUAAGGGAUAAUAGGGGAAAAGGAAUUCUGCCUACGCCACUACCCAUGCACGAUCUCGAGGAGAAGGAGCUAGUGCAACAUUGGCCCGCGAGAGCCGCGGUGUCCAAACAACAGUUCAUUCCCUAUCCUAAAUUGGAUUUUCCGCAGUUCAGUAGUGAAGAUCCACAAGGAUGGUUGCAGAGUUGCAAGCAAUAUUUCGACCUUUACCAGAUACCGCGACAGCAGUGGCUAGGAGUGGCCACCAUGCACAUCUCCGGAAGGGCAAGAGUGUGGAAGCAAGGUUACUUCAUCAACAGACCGGGGUUGACUUGUGUAAUACACUGAACUUUAGCAAAUUGCGAAGUUCGAGUGUGUGCAAUGAUAAGUGGAACUAUCCUACAUCUUCUAAAAGGCUUAGAUAAGUUUUUGGACAAGUUAGAGAAUGAUUGGAAGGUCGGAAGCAAGAAAGUGCAUUAUUCUGGCAAAAUUCAGCAUUUUCUGUAUUGUGUACCGGUACAACCAUCAUUGUGUACCGGUACACAGUGGCAGAAACGUGGUAGCAAGGCUGAUUUAGUAAUUUCACAUCUUAUCUCUAUUUAUUUGACCCCAGCACGACUCCAGGUGCUCAGUGGAGGUUGCUAGAGCUCAGAGCAAGCUUCUUUCACCUUCUCCACUUUCUCUCUCUAGGGUUUCUCUCUCUACGAGUAAAAGUCGCCGUUACGCGCCGAUUUCGCGCCGCGCUCAUUGCUCGUUGGUUCGAAGACUCAAGGGAAGUCUAUGGGACGUGGGGAGAAGGAUUUUUACUGAGUUUUCUGUGAGUUUCUCACCAGGGAAAGCGGAAUCUCAGCAUUAGAGAGGUAAUUAGCUCAAUUUCUCUCUAGUUUGUGGUUUAGUAUCGGAUUUUUACGCGUUUUAGUUCCGUUGCUUCCAGCUGAGUUUGAGAAGGCUUCCAGCAGCUAGAGAGGGGUUAUCUAGCUGUGAUUUCUUCAUUUUAGUCCAGGAAAAAGUUGCCUUGAAGCUUGAGGAAGGUAUUUAGUUAUCUAUGAAGCUAUUUCGAAACUAUUUGCCAUCUAAUUGAGUAACUUGAUGCAGUUUGGAAUUCUUUCUUUGUAGCAGGUUUUCGAACCAUUUUGAACUAAAUUGGUGACCUUGGGAACUAGUUUGGAAGGUGUUCCAACCAGGGGUAAGUAGAAAUUUCAGUUAGAACACUGAUUUCGCAAGAUUUCGGUUAUAUUAACUUGUAAACAAGCAUUGCGAUGCCGUUUUGGUGUUGUUCGUAGCGAGAGUACAACCGACUUUUGGAUGAUCUUUGGUUGGCAUUGGAGAGCCUUUAGAGGUUAAUCUUGAGGUAUUAAAGUGAACCAGAACAGGGAUCUAAGUUACUACUUUGUACUAAGUGAAAUUAUGCCGAUUUCGGACAUGUUGGUAAUGGUUUUCAAUCCGGUUUUGAUCCUUCGUUUUCAACAGGGUUGAGGCCUAGUUGAGCUGAAUUUCGGGACUCCUUUGGGCUGGAUUGAGAUUAGUGAUAGGUGGGUUUGACCUAAGCAGAGCAAGUGAAGCUCCCCUAUGUUCUAUAUGAUACUAUAGAAUUGACACAUACGUGCGUUUUUGUGACUAUGCGAUUGCUAAAGACUUAGAACAAUAUUACCAUAAUGUUUGACAUAUUUGAAAUGAAAUCUCUAUGAAGUAGAGAACACUUAUGCAUAAAAGUACUUAUGUUUAUGUUUAGUUCAGUUGAAUCACUAAUGGACAUAACUACUAUUCUCUUAUAAAGUAGAGAACAAUGAUAUUCUCUUGAUUCUAUUCACGAUAAAGUAGAGAACAAUUCUAAUGCCAUAUGUAAAAUUAGCAUUACUUUCAUGUGCUUGUUAAUCUAGUGGAUACUAGCAAGUUUUAUUGCUUAUUAUAAUGAGAAUUCCGACCAAUAGAUCGAGAGUGAGAACAUAGUGUAUUAUGACAUGAUGAUUGAGGCAUAUUGGGCUAUGGAUUUUGCUUGCUUGCCAUCGUGCUCAUUCGCACACGCUUGUGAGGGUAGCUCCCUACAAGCCGGCACUCCGGAGUUGGCCUAUGCGACAGAUUAUUCGUCCGUGCGGGAUUGGGUGCCGAAGUGGAUUGUCGUGGGGAGUGCAUACUACCACGGGGACAUUAGGCGCGGCGCAGGCUGGACUACCUUGUGUAGGUCCUUAUGAUUGAAAGUAAAGUACUAAAUGACAGAUGAUAGUAAUGAUUGAUUACCAGUUAUAGUGUACAGUAUUUACUUACACGUUUAUGCUUACGUUCAUGUUUAUAUUCAUACUUACAGUAAUUGCUAUGCUUUUAUUAUUCAGUUGAUCCAUUACUGUAGAAAGUAUGAUUACAUGUUGAUUACAUGUUCAUUACCUGUUAGCAUUGUAGAUAUAUCAUGCAAUUAUUGCUUUUACUUUCAUUUAGUACAUCAUGAGCCUAGUGGUGUAAUUCGCCAAGGCUGGCAGCUUACCCACUGGGAACUAUUGUUUAAUAGUUCUCACGCCCUUUUUAUUGUUGUUUUUACAGAGCCACCUACAGGAGAGGCUAGGGAUCGCGGAAAGGGAGUCGCGUCUAGCUAGACCUAGCUUGCGGUUUUACUAGGUGAUCACCUUGCUACUCGUGCCACGACCGAGGGUGAUGUACCCGUGUAUAGAGAGACUACCAUUGUACCUGUAUUUUGAGUAGCCCUGUGAUGUGUGUGAUUGGUUGAAUCGGGAAUUAUAGUUGAUACUUCUCUAUGAUGUUGAGAUUUUGUGUUGUAUACUCUUUGUUCUUCUGUUGAUGGUCUUAUUGACUUAUACUUUGCUCUGAUAUCAGGAUAGAAUUUUUCUAUAUUUUCUUCCUAUCGAUUUGCUUCUUUGUAGACGCCUUAUAUACUGCAGGUGUAUAGCGAGUCUGUGCACGUACCGGAUAUGCUUCCGCUGGUAACCGGGCGUGACAACUUGCGAGGAAUUUACCGAUGCAAUAUGUAAGUGAUUUGCGGACGUGGGAGAGCGCCAUGCAGUCCGCGAAUUCGGCAACCAUAAACAAACAGGAUCCAUCAAAAAAUAUCAACAAAAAUUCGAGCUGUGAGCACAAAUGCUGUACUACAACCCGCGUCUGGGGGAGGAGUUCUUUAUCGCAAGCUACAUCAAUGGGUUAAGCGAAGAGCUGGUUCCCUUCAUGGAUAUCUCGCAUCCAGCCACACUAGAGGACGCUUACAACCACACCAAACUACAUGAUCGGGCGCUGACGAUUAUGCAAAGGAAGAGCAGAAUCAUCAGUAAAGGCCCCAGGGGGUGGGUAUUCGUCCUUCAGUGGAUCCAGGAGCUCCACCGGGACAACCACCUAUAAACCGAGGGAGCAUAACAGAUUCCAAAUCCAAGGUUCAAAUGGGGAAGCCAGCCUGCCCUCACAGGAGCACAAGCGAUUAAUAGAGCAACGAAGGGCUGCCAAGCAAUGUUUCAAGUGCGGCGACAAAUACCAGCCGGGCCAUCAGUGCAAAAACAAGACUCUUUUCAGCUUAGCUGCCGAGGAUAAUGUGUUGGAAGUGUAUGAUGAAGAUUGUUUACGGGAAGAGGAAGAAAUGCCCGGGGAAGAACAAGGGAAUAAUCCAAACUCGGAGGAGAAGGAAGAGGUGGGUUUGUCUUUUAACGCGCUGAGUGGGGAAAACUCACUUCAAACACUUCAAAUUCAAAGCGAAGUGGGGAGCAAGAAGCUGAAGAUACUGGUAGACACGGGGAGCACCCACAGUUUCCUGGAUUUUCGGGUGGCGAAAGAAGUCAAGGCAAAAAUAGGGGCAGCGGCGCCCCUAAUGGUCGCUGUGGCCAAUGGGCACAAAAUCAUGAGCAAACUAAGGAGCCCGGGGUUUACUUGGAACAUGAAUGGCAAAUCUUACAAGGCUGACUUGAGGAUAAUCCGGCUAGAAGGCUCUAGUGUGAUAUUGGGCAUCGAUUGGUUAAAAACGUAUGGUAAGGUCACUUUCGACUAUAACAAUCACACAGUGUCGCUUGACAAGGACGGACAUCAGCUGGUCCUUAAAGGUUUGGCUGUAGGGACAGGCCUAAAGAUGCUCACUGUCAAGGAGUGGAGUAGAGACUGCCAGGAAGGAAUUUGUUGCGCCUUAGCCACAAUCACACAGAUCGGGGAGUGCGACGAGCAAGUGAUACCUAAGAGCAUUAAAGAGAUACUACAACAAUUUGAAGAUGUGUUCGAGGAGCCGAAGGGAUUAACCCCGACAAUAAGGCAGGACCACCGGAUUCCCUUACAAGUGAAAGUUUUGGGGUAGCCCAAGGAUCUAUCUAGAUUGUAUCUAACACCUAGAGGGGGGUGAAUAGGUGUAAAAGCCAAAAACCACAAAUCUCAAUGCGGUAAAAGUAAAUGCAGAAAAUAAAAAUCACACCGAGAUUUACGUGGAAAACUCCAACUAGGAGUAAAAAACCACGGGACCAACACGCGAUAACAAUCCACUAAGAAUAAAAGAUUACAAGGUGAGUUACCGAUUCCACGGACUCAAACCUCUCUUUUAUCUUCUCCGGAUCUCGUGCACACCAACAGGUUGUCCACGCCACACGUCCGAAUCCACGAACGUCACGUCCCAAAUCCACGAAACUUCCACACUUCGAAUCCACGAAGCCUUGAUCACGCCGAAUCCACGACACCCACUCGAAUCCACAAGCACACUCUGUCCGGAGCAAGAAUACCAAGAUUGACGAUGAUUUAUUGCUUAGACAAUCGUUAAAGAACCAUAGAAGAUGUUUCUAAGCAAUAGCCGGAUCAAUUCUCCAUGAAGAACAAAAAAUUAGGAUUUCAAGAAUUGAUCGAAUAGAAACUUAUUUUUUGAGAGAAGAAAUAAUACACCCAACAAGUUUCUAGGGUUUCAAAACAAUAUUUUAUGCCUUCAUAAUCUUUUAGAAACACCCCUACAUCUUAUUUAUAGGUUUAGAAGACUUAGAAACCGACUAGGAUUGCAAAAAUCCAAUUUUAAAAACUUAUGUCGUCCUCAGGGACCAGUCCUCUCGAGGAGACCGGUCUGUCAGAGAUCGGUGCCUUGGGUGGGAGACUGGUCCCUCGCUGCGUGACAGAAAACACAACGUUCGGGAACCGGUCUCUCAUGCCAGAGACCGAUCUCUCUCUGCGAGUCAAAAAUCCCAAUGUUUGGGAACCGGUCUCUCAUGCAAGAGACCGGUUGCACCGACCAGGAGACCGGUCCCUCAGAUCAGGAGACCGGUUGCCUUGAACUUUCACGUAGAGAGGACUCUCGGGAACCGGUCUCUCAUCUCAGGGGACCGGUCCCAGCACAUUGAAAAAAAUCAGUUUAUCCAGAUCAUAUUUUAAAAACCAUCAUAAGUCUUCCAAAUACUUUUAAACAUUUAUAAAUCACCAUCAAUGGUAUUUAAACUUACCGAGCAUUAUGCAUUCAUGUUUUGAGUCUUCGAGUCUUCGAUCUUCAUCUCUUAUUCUUCAAGCAUUCAAGACUCCGACUAACAUCACGAAAUAUGCCAACAUAAAAUCCGUAACAACAAGGAGCGUCCCAACCAGUGAACAUAAGACCCUAUCGCUACACCUACGAGCAAAAGAACGAAAUCGAGCGUCAGGUUAAGGAGAUGUUGGAGUUGGGCAUCAUCUAGCCUAGCACCAGCCCGUUCGCUUCACCCGUGCUGCUAGUCAAAAAGAAGGAUAACACAUGGCGGUUUUGUGUCGACUACAGACAACUAAACAAAUUCACGGUGAAGGAUAAAUAUCCAAUCCCACUGAUUGAUGAUUUGCUAGAUGAAUUGGGCGGCUCAACUUACUUCUCUAAGAUUGGCUUGAGGGCCGGCCACCAUCAGAUCAGAAUGGAUUCGGCGGACGUCUAUAAGACGGCAUUCCGGACCCACGCAGGACAUUACGAGUUUUUGGUUAUGCCCUUCGAGCUAACCAACGCGCCGGCUACCUUUCAAUCCGUCAUGAAUGAGGUAUUUGCGGAUUACCUUAGAAAGUAUGUGCUAGUUUUCUUCGACGACAUUCUCAUUUACAGCUGAAACAUCGAGGACCAUAAGGCGCAUUCGAGUGUGGUGCUCGGAACAUUGCGCAGGCAACAGUUAUAUGCGAAGAGGUCCAAUGCUACUUCGGGCAACAAAGAGUGGAAUAUCUAGGCUAUAUCAUCAGCCCGGAGGGAGUGGCAACCGAUCCUAAGAAGGUAGAAGCGAUGGUUACGUGGCCGACACCAACUUCCCUCAAGGGUUGGCGAGGGUUUCUAGGUAUAACAGGGUACUACCGACGAUUUAUAAAUGUCACACCCCGAAACCCAGCGGAAGCCCGCCCAGCGCGUGUCCAGACCCGCUAUAUGUCUAAAACAUAUAAGGCGUCUACGAAAAAGAAGUAAAUAAAACAAUAAUACACGAGAUCUAGUAAUAUCAGAGCAAAGUACUACUAAUUCUACAAUAGGAGGGUAAUCAUAAAACUAUAAAUCCACAAAGUGAAACAUAAAGUAGUACAAAGAUAACCCAAAAUACAAGUGCUAACGGAGUACAUAGGUGGUCUUUAUACAUGGUACAAAAAUCUCUCUCUCACUACGACAAAAGAAAGAAUAACCACCUAAGCUCAAAAGUAGCUCCUCUCUGUCUAGCUUGGCGACACCCUUGCCGCGAUCCCGUGCCUCCGCCGGUGCCGAGGGCUCUAAAAAGAAACAUAAAGCAGAGGGCGUGAGAACUAUUAAAUAAUAGUUCCCAGUGGGCAAUUACCGACUUUAGUGAAAUGCGCCAUUAGGCCCAACAACUAAAAAGGGGUAAGUGUAAAUGUAAGCAAUAUGAACGACUAGUAAGUAAGCAUGAAAAUUUACUACAACUUGAUGUCUCUACUUAGUAUGAAAUUGCAUAAGUAAUGAAGCUACUGUAACAUGAAUGUAGACGGGCACCACUAUCAUAAUGUCCACAAGCUAAAUAGUAAAUGUCAUUGUUUACUAUUUUAGUCAAAGUCCAAAUGGCAUGUUCUGUCACUAAGUUCUGAUCAUAUAAGACCCACCCGUAGGCUGUCUAGCCUGCGCCGUGCCUAAUGGCCCCGUGGUAGUCAACAUCCCCACUCUAGGAAUGAGCCUCCCCCACGGCAUCCUAGUUCGACGCCCAAUCCCGCACGAGCGAGCAUAUGUCGCGAUGUCUAUCUCCGGAGUGCCGGCUUGUAGGGAGCGACCCUCACAAGCAUAUGCGAAUGAGCACAAUGGUAAGCAAGCGAAAGAUCUGUCUCAAGUACCAAGUCCUCAUGUCUAAAAACAUGAAAUAUAUUAAGUAUCUCGAUGGCCUACCACUACGUUGUCAUGUCUAAAACACGGAAUAAUAGUGGAUGUCGGAAUGGCCUAUCACUAUGUCUCUAAGUUGCAGUUUCACAAUUUUCUAAGUCAGGUGCCCCUUUAUGGCACUUUGUCCGCUAAGUCAAGCAUGGUGAUUAUGUUCAAGAGUACAAAAUUCUAAACAUUUUCCUCAUAAGAGACAUAUUCCCAAAACUGCAAUGAAGUACUUAACACAUGCAUAGAUACUACACAUAAGGCUCUACACAUAGAGUGAAAUAUUCAUGAUAUAUAAUGCAUGCAUUCUAAGCAUUCAAAAAUUCAUAUAAAUUCUAUUUAGGAUGAAAAUGCAUAAACCACGAUGAUUCGAAAGCAUUUAACCACUUAGGAGACGUUUUCUCCUAUUCCAAUGAAGCCAAACCCACCGAAGCUAAUCGAAACCCUUCGUUUGCUCCAACGAAGGCAUCCACCACUCUCCUAGUACCCUAAAGGUAUAGAAAAGAGAGUUAAACGAACCUUACGAACACCCAAGUGAUCAAACAUUAAGCAACUCAAGAAAAGGGUGAAAAACUCACCGAACGCGGAGGAGACUCUCUCGAUCUCGAAAUGGGAGUUAGAGUCCUUCAAAGCCAACCUAAAUCAUGAUUCUAAACCAAUCAAUUUGGUUCUAGAAGCCUCUAAUCAAAAAUUUCCAAUUCUAACCCUAAUAACACAUUCUAGGGUUUCAUCUAGAAGAAGCUACCCAAAACUUGAUCCAAGGGGGAGAUUAAGUAUACUAACCUCACAAGAUCCUCAAAACCAAGCUCCAAGUCCUCUAGGGUUGAAGGUUGAUCCUCAAUCAAGCUCCAACCAAGAUCUCAAGCUUCUUCAAUGGUGGAAAACCAUUAAAAAAGCAAGAAGGAGAAGAAGAAAGAGAUCAAAACUAGUUAGAAUCCAACAAAAAUGGAGAAGGAAUCAAAGGGGAGGAGUUCUCACCUCUUCUCCGCAGGUCUAGCGCUCAAAAGAGCCCCCCAAGGGCUGUGGUGGUGUUUAAAUAGAGAUGCAACAAUUGUAAAAAUACUCCUGCCUGAAAAACUGCCUAGUCUGCAUUGUGUACCGGUACACGGGAAAGUGUACCGGUACACUUCCUACGAAACAGCCGAACCCGAGCCUCGGGUUGGCAGCAAACCCACAGUGUACCGGUACAACCAUCAAGGUGUACCGGUACAAAUCCUGUACCGGUACAACCAUCAAGGUUGUACCGGUACACAGCCUGGCUGAGGCUGACCCGAGAGCAGGACCAACAAUCCAUCUUUUUGGAUUUUGGUACAAGCUUUAAAUCUCAAUUCUUGUGUUGCGAGCUAUUGGUCGGAACACUGUCAACGACCUUCCAGAAUAUCUGGUAAAGCUCGGAACACAGAUCAAACACUUGAACCUCGCAAUUUGCAAAGAACCAGUGUGUUACAUUCACCCCUCCUAAAAAGGAGUUUCGUCCGCGAAACUCGAAAUCAAACUACAUACCUCAAGACUCCAUCUGAAAGAGAUGGGGAUAGCGCUCCUGCAGCACGCUCUCUAGCUCCGACGUGGCCUCCCGCUCCCUGUGGUUGCUCUAAAGGACCUUUACAUACGAAAUGUCCCGAUUCCGUAGUUUCUUCACCUCGUGAGCCAAGAUCUUCACUGGUUGCUCCUCGAAGCUCAAAUCGUCCCGCAACUCCAAGGGUGAAGCAUCCAACGCAUGAGUCGGGUCGAAGACGUACUUUCAAAGGACAGAUACAUGAAAGACGUUGUGCACGCCCGAUAGGUUCGGCGGUAGAGCAAGCCGAUACGCUACUGGACCUACACGUUCCAAAAUCUCAUACGAUCCAAUGAAACGGGGGCUCAACUUACCCCGAAUCCCAAAUCUCCUGAUCCCUCUUGUCGGCGAGACCUUCAAGAACACAUGGUCUCCAACUUGGAACUCCAAGUCUCGCCGUCGUCGGUCAGUGUAGCUCCUCUGUCUACUCUGUGCCGUCAAUAGUCGCUCCCGAGCAAUUCGAACCUUAUCCUCAGCUUCUUGGAGCACUUCAGGGCCUAAAGCCAAUCUCUCACCUACUUCGCUCCAAUGAAGUGGCGAUCUACACUUCCGUCCAUAAAGUGUUUCGAAGGGCGCCAUCUUGAUGCUUGCUUGAUAACUAUUGUUAUAAGCAAACUCCGCCAUUGGUAGAUGCUGCGACCAUCCCCCUGGAAGUCAAUCAUACAUGCUCGGAGCAUAUCCUCUAAAGUCUGAAUGGUGCGCUCCGACUGCCCGUCACUCUGAUGGUGGAAAGCAGUGCUGAAGUCCAAUCAGGUGCCCAAGGCGUCCUACAGACUCCUCCAAAAGUGAGACACAAAUCGAGUAUUUCAGUCCGGUACUAUCGAUGUAGGUACUCCAUGAAGCCGCACAAUUUCAUCAAGGUACACUUGUGCGAGCUUCUCUCCGGUCCAAGUAGUUUGAAUAGGUAUGAAGUGCGCCGACUUCGUCAACCUAUCCACGAUUACCCAUAUAGCAUCAUGCCCUGCCUGAUAGCGGCGCAAUCCAGUCACGAAAUCCAUGGCGAUCUUCUCCCACUUUCGCACGGGAAUAGGCAAACUCUGAAGUUUUUCCGCGGGUAAUCGAUGCUCAGCCUUUACUUGUUGGCAAGCUAGACAACGAGCUACGAACUCGCCAACAUCCAUUUUCAUCCCGGGCCACCAAUAAAGCAACUUUAAGUCCUUGUACAUCUUGGUGCCACCCGGAUGUAUAGCAUGCGGUGCUCGGUAUGCUUCUUGAAGAAUGUCCUCUUUGAUUACCGCAUCCGCCGGUACACAUAACCGUCCGCGAAAACGCAUCAAUCCUUGAUCAUCCAUAAGGAAGUCGCCGGUGCAACCAUUAACCAUUUUACCUCUAAUCUUUUGCAACUCCGUAUCGGAAGCUUGCUUCUCUUUAAUUCUAUCCACAAGUGUAGGUUGCACCACCAAGGUCAUCAACCUCAAAGGCGUGUCUGGAGUCACCACCUCCAACUCCAACCGCUUCAUCUGCUCGAUCAACUGCGGUUGAGUAACAACAUAGAUCGCUAAGUUUUCCGUAGAUUUCCUACUUAGAGCAUCCGCCACCACGUUAGCCUUACCCGGGUGGUAAAGAAUCGUCAGAUCAUAAUCUUUAAGCAGCUCCAACCAUCUGUGCUGUCUCAAGUUCAACUCCUUCUGAGUAAACAGGUACUUUAAGCUCUUGUAAUCCGUGUAUACUUUACACUACUCGCCAUAAAGAUAGUGGCGCUAUAGCUUCAAUGCGAAAACUACGGACGCCAACUCCAAAUCAUGCGUCGGAUAGUUCUUUUCAUAUUCCUUUAGUUGGCGCGAAGCAUCCGCGAUCACCUUGCGAUCCUGCAUCAACACACAACCCAAUCCAUUAAGUGAAGCAUCACUAUAAACCGCAUACGCUGCUCCAGCUAUCGGCAGGGUUAGGAUCGGGGCGGUCGUCAAUCUUUGCUUCAACUCUUGGAAGCUUCUCUCGCAUGCAUCAUUCCAAAUGAACUUGCCUCCUUUAUGCGUGAGCCUCGUGAGGGGAGUAGACAGUUUUGGCGAACCUCUCAACAAAUCUCCGGUAGUACCCGACCAAUCCAAGGAAGCUCCGUAUCUCCGUGACGCUCAUCGAUCUCGGCCAAUCCUUGAUCGCUUCAAUCUUCUUAGGAUCCAGGGCUAUACCUAAUCUCGAUCAAAUGUCCAAGGAAAGCUACCUCCCGAAGCCAAAAUUCACACUUUUUCAGCUUGGCAUAGAGCUCCUUUUCCGGAAGUACUUGAAGUACAAGCCUCAAAUGCUCCUCGUGAUCUGCAUCACUUCGGGAAUAGAUCAAAAUGUUGGCGAUGAAUAUCACGACGAACCUGUCUAGAUAAGGCUUAAAAACACGGUUCAUUAAAUCCAUGAAAGCUACCGGAGCGUUAGUAAGCCCGAACGGCAUAACAGUGAACGCAUAAUGUUCAUACCGUAUUCUAAAAGCCGUCUUCGAUACAUCCUCGGGUUUGAUCUUUAACUGGUGGUAUCCCGACUGCAAAUCGAUCUUGGAAUACACACACGAUCCCUGAAGCUGAUCAAACAAGUCGUCGAUCCUCGGUAAUGGAUACUUAUUCUUCAUCGUGACUUUAUUAAGUUCACGAUAGUCUACGCAUAGGCGAAGUGAUCCGUCCUUUUUCUUGACGAACAAAACUGGUGCUCCCCAAGACGAGACGCUCGGUCGAAUGAAGCCUUUAUCCAGAAGAUCCUGCAGCUGUGCCCUCAGCUCCUUCAGCUCCGCCGGUGCCAUCGUAUAGGGCGCUUUCGAGAUUGGAGUAGUCUCAGGGACGAGAUUUACCACAAACUCGAUCUCCCUAUCGGGUGGCAUACCCGGUAGCUCAGUUGGAAACACGUCACAAAACUUCUGCACCACCGGAAUAUCCUCAAUCCUAGGGGUAUCACCCUCGCCCCUCAACACAACACUAGCCAAGUAUGCUACACAACCUCUGCUGAUCAGCUGCCUAGCUCGAGACGAGCUGAUCGUCAUCGCAAAAAGCGAACUCUGGCAUCCUCUAAACACAACCUCAGUUUGUCCCGGUUCUCUAAAAGUAACCGUGCGAUUCUUGCAAUCUAUCAUGACAUAAUACUUGGUCAACCAAUCCAUGCCUAAGACCACAUCAAACUCCCCCAGGUUGCGCAAGGCUAGCAAGUCCACGGGCAUAAUCCAAUCUCCUACCCGAAUAGGGCAACUGGGGCAAUACUCUCUAAUAUCCAAAGAGUGGUCAGGGACAACUACACGUCCCGGAUGCAACAAAGAAAAUAUAGGGAUACCAUGCAACUCGGCAAACAACCGAUCUAUGAAUGAAUGCAAUGCAUGAACUCUAAUGCCAUCAAGUAAAAUGAUACCUGCGACUACAUCCUCGGCUGCUGCCGCCUCCUCGGUUUGAGCGGCAUGUAUGCGCCCACUCGGGGUCUGUCGAGAACCCUCGCUCUUGCGCUGGGCGAGUGGCCGCCCGGGCUGGUACUGCGCUGAUGGAGUCCCGUGGCUGGCGGCUGGUAAAGCCGGUGCUGAUGCAGAUGACGGUGCCGGUGACGAACCCCUCGGGCACUCGGUCCGGAAGUGGCCCUCCUGGCCAUAGUGGAAACACCUCCCUCCUUGUGCGGGCACUGCUGUGGAAUGUGAGGACCACCACAGAUCACGCACUGUGAAGGUCGUUGUCGGUCAGAACCUCCAUAGUGAGUCGCCGAGCCACGCCCACGCUGCUGGCUCUUAGGAUGCUUCGGCGGCCUCCUAGAGUGCGUCUAGCUUGCACCCUCAGCCGCAGGCCUCUUGGCCUUACCCUUGUCCAUAGCCUCUCGGCAUUCCUGAACAUCUGCCGCACCGCUCUCUACGAUAAGCGCGCGAUCCACCACCUCCCGGUAGAUUUGGAGGUUAGAGGAUUGCACAAACUGGAAGAUCGACGGUCGCAACCCUUGCUCGAAGAUGCGGGCUUUGUCCUCGUUGUCCUGCACGACGAAAGGCACACAGUGUAGAAAUCGAGAAAACUCCCGCUCGUACUCGGCUACUGUCCUGUCUCCCUGGCACAAGUUGCGCAAGUCCUGCUCCAUCUUCCUCUUGACGUUGGCCGAGAAGUAAUGCGCCAAAAGAGCUCCUUGAACCUCUUCCAAGUAAUAGCUGCCAAAUCAGUGCUGGGGUGCUCCUAGAGAUCCAACCACCAGCGAUAGGCCUCGCCGUCCAGGUGGUGUGUGGCGAGCCAAACCCGAUCCCUCUCCUCCAUGAAGGUGUCACGAAAGAGCUUCUCCAUAUGCAUUAACCACUUCUCUACGAUCCAGUGGUCGACCUUCUCGUCGUCGAAGAUCCGAGGACCGCACCUCCUGAACUCGUUGAGGCGCUCCAUGAGUCGGUCCCGCACCACUCCCUCGACCAAGGUAGGGAAAGCUGCUCCAACCGGGGGCCUCUACACAUGUGACGCACUGUACCUUCGCAAAUUGCGAGGUUCGAGUGUUUGGACUGUAUCCCGAGUUUUUUCCAGACUUUCUGGUGGGUUGUUGACUGUGUCCCGACCUAUGGCUCGUAUCCCGAGAAUUGUGGUAUUUUAUGUAGCGCCAAGGUCACCAAGAGUUGGACUUAGCCUACCCUCGGAUUGCAUUCUGCAUGACGUGUAACCGGUGACAGGUCGAUGGCUAUACCGGUACACAUUUUGUACCGGUACACUUUUGAUGGUUGUACCGGUACACUUGUGGCGAAUUUCGAACCCGAGCCUCGUGUUUGCAUUUUCGUAGGAUGUGUACCGGUACACUUUCCCGUGUACCGGUACACUUUGGCAGAAUCUGAGCAAUUUGAAUUGCAGGGGGUUUUUCGCAACUGUGGCAGCUCUAUUAGUACCCCCCACGCCCCUAGGGCUCUCCCUGAGCUUGGCACCAGCAAGGAGAAGGGUAAGGGAGCCCUCCACACUCUUCCAUUCCCUUUACUUGAUUUUGCUUGGAUUUUUUACAAGAUUAAGCUCCCUUUUGCUUGAUUAGAGACUUUCUCACUUUGGUUGAGGCUUGGAGCUUGGGUUUGGAGCAAAGUUGAGGGAAGAUCCUUGGACUUGGAGAGUUUAGAGCUUGGAUUGAAGUUUCUAAAAGGUAAUCUACUUGACCUCUCCCUCUAAAUAUGAAUUUUAUUGAUGGAUUCAAGAUGGAACCCUAGUUUUGAUACUUAGGGCUUAUUUUGGGUAUUUUGAAUCUAGGGCUUUUGGGGCUAAAUUGGUUGGAUUAGAACCUUCCUUGGGCUUGGUUUGGAAGGGAUUUAGCUCUCUUUUGGAGCUUGAGAGAGAUUUUCCACACAUUAGGUGAGUUUUAGUCCUUUUGCUAAAUUUGUUAAAGUUUGAUCUUAUAGUUGAUCGUAAUGCCCGUGUAUCUUUUCGCUCGAUACUUUUAGGGCAUUUUGAGACUCGGGGACAAUUUUGUUCGGCGAAACGAGGCCCUACGCGACGGUUCGGUGGGUUUGACCUAGCCACACAAUGAGAAAUUCUCAUUUGUGCUUAAUUAAGUAUCGUUAAAUGAAAAAGCAUGCAUAUUUUUGUUAUAUGUAUUUAUUGUGAAUUUUAGAAUGCUUAAAAGGCCUAUGUUAUAUAUGAUAAAAUUUUGUACCUUUAUGUAGUAGAGAGUAGCUUGGUAGGCCUAUAGUUGCAUUUAGCAUUCUAUAUGAGACGUGGUUUCAUGCUCCUAUAGUGUAAAUAAGAUUGGAUUCAUGCAUUUAAACCUAAGUUUAUUGAGACAUGAAAGUUGACAAAUUGCCAUUUAGAAGGUAUGUGAACUAGAGAGCUAAUGUCAUCAAGCGGCAUUGAGCUCGGGACAUGUGUGAACCUAGUGGAUAGGGCAGUGGAUAGGGCCAUUGAGGAAUGUGGAACAUGCUUAAACAUUAAAUGUCUAAGUGUCAUAAAGAGGCACUAGACCUAGAGAAUGUUGGAACUUUAUUUGUGACUUAGAACUAGAUCUUCGAGAUGCUAGUGACUAUACCAUGUUAGAGACAUGAGGGUUGGAUACUUGAGACUUGGACUAUGCUUGCUUGCCAUUUGUGUUCAUUCGCACAUGCUUGUGAGGGUCGCUCCCUGCAAGCCGGCACUCCGGAGUUAGCCUUCGCGACCUAUGUUCGCUCGUGCGAUAUUGAGAAGCCUACGGGGUCGAGUGGGACAGACACAUUCCAAGAGUAGGGAUGUUGGGCUACCACAGGCACUUAGGCGGCACAAGCUGGACUACCUUUGGUAGGUCCUUGAUUGGAAAUGGAAAUCGACACGGUGUUGAGAAUGAAUAAUCGCUGCUAAAUAGGCUUAGUAGUUGGAUUAGGUGACAUGCUCAUGACAUAGCAAUGGGGUAUAUAGUACACUUGUCGGUUUCAUGCAUUGCAUCAUAGUAUACUGGGUUAUCUUGAUAGAGCGUACUCCUUAUAUUUUGGCAUAUGGUAUUGUGAGGUUUACUUGUUCAUUAUGUUGAGGCAUAUUAGUAUGCAUUGGAUAUAUUACCUUAUGAUAGCGUAGAUGUACAUCACCAUGACAUCAUGUUUAUUGGAGACAUAAUAGUAUAGCAUUUCAUUCAUGCUUUCUUUCAGCAGUUUUUUUGUGUUCGCUAUUUAUUGCAUAUUACUAUAUGUCGUUGCUUACCCUUUUCUUUUGGGGCCUAUUGGUGCAUUGAGUUGAGGUCUGUAAUUGCCCACUGGGAACUAUAAAUUAUAGUUCUCACGCCUUCUUUUUCUCGAUGUUUUUCAGAGCCUUCCACGCAGGGUGAGGCCAGGGAUCGCGGGAAGGGAGUUGCUUCGAGCUAGCUUCCUUCGAGGACGAGUUGCUAGGUGGUCUACCUCUCGAUAUUUACUUGUCUUACCGAGAGGUUGAGGGUUUUACCAGUGUACUAGAGACCACCAUUUUUGUACUAGAGAUAGAUAUUGUACUACUUAUGAUUUCUUUUAUUGUCUAGCUUUACUUUUUUACUUUGGUGUAGAUGUUAGAACUUUACUCGCUCUGAUAUCAUUAGCUGCUAGUUAUUUCACUUCUUCUAUUUGUUCUAUUACUUGCUUUUACUUCCGCUUUUAUUCUAGACGCCUUAUAUGUGUAGACAUAUGGCGGGUCUGGGCACGCUACCGGGAGGGCCUCCGCCGGUCCCGGGGCGUGACAGCACAGGUGGUGCCGCGAUAGCCUCCUCCUGAGGCGCGGCCGCGGGCGCUGCUCGUGAAGAACUGGGCGCGGGGGAUGGCGCUCUCGGCGCGACGUCCACGACUGGUGCUGGCGGUGUAGGGGCCUGAGUCUCCGUGGAAGCUGCCGCCUGCUGUAGCAGAAGAUCCUCUAGGCACUUCAUCCGCACCUCCUGUCGACGCACCGCCUCAGUCUGCUGUGCCACCAUAUCAGUGAGGGCCGCAAGCUGGCCCCUCAACUCUCGGACCUCGCCGGAUCCGGAGGUAGCGGAGGUCUCGAUCUCCUCCAAGUUUGCCGCAUUAUACGCUCCGGCAAAUUAAGAGCAUGUAAUCGGCAUCGUCACUACAACAUCAUAAAAGCGUAAGUUAGUAACCCACGCUAUCGAAUCCCCGCUCAAGCAGAUAAUACCAAAAUCAUGCGAAAGUAAGGAAGUGUUCUUCACCACUAACUCCCGAUGUUACAUUGUCGGCCGCCAACGUAACCCUCCGCGAUGUUAGAACCUAUACACUUCGAUCAACUCCAACUUUUUAGAGUUAUCAAGAUACCCAAUCAAAAUACUUUCGCUUACAAGUCAAAUAGACCUCAUCUCUCACGAGCCUAUUUCCUAUAGUCCAACCAGUCUAAGGUUUACUAGGUCCCCUAAGAUUCAACCCUAGGCUCUGAUACCAAAUUAAUCUGUCACGCCCCGGGACCCAGCGGAAGCCCGCCCGGCGCAUGUCCAGACCCGCCAUAUGUCUAAAACAUAUAAGGCAUCUACGAAAAAGCAGUAAAUAAAAUAAUAAUACAAGAGAUCUAGUAAUAUCAGAGCAAAGUACUACUAAUUCUACAACAGGAGGGUAAUCAUAAAAUUAUAAAUCCACAAAGUGAAACAUAAAGUAGCACAAAGAUAACCCAAAAUACAAGUGCUAAAGGAGUACAUAGGUGGUCUCUAUACAUGGUACAAAAAUCUCUUUCUCACUACGACAAAAGAAAGAGUAACCACCUAAGCUCAAAAGUAGCUCCUCUCUAUCUAGCUAGGCGAUACCCUUGCCGCGAUCCCGUGCAUCCGCCUAUGCCGAGGGCUCUGAAAGGAAACAUAAAGCAAAGGGCGUGAGAACUAUUAAAUAAUAGUUUCUAGUGGGCAAUUACUGACUUCAGUGAAAUGCGCCACUAGGCCCAACAACUAAAAGGGGUAAGUGUAAAUGUAAGCAAUAUGAACGACUAGUAAGUAAGCAUGGAAAUUUACUACAACAUGAUGUGUCUACUUAGCAUGAAAUUGCAUAAGUAAUGAAGCUACUGUAACAUGAAUGUAGACGAGCACCACUAACAUAAUGUCCACAAGCUAAAUAGUAAAUGUCAUUGUUUACUAUUUUAGUCAAAGUCCAAAUCGCAUGUUCUGUCACUAAGUUUCGAUCAUGUAAGACUUACCCGUAGGCUGUAUCGCCUGCGCCGUGCCUAAUGGCCCCGUGGUAGUCAACAUCCCCACUCUAGGAAUGAGCCUCCCCUACGGCAUCCCAUUUCAGCGCCCAAUCCCGCACGAGCGAGCAUAUGUCGCGAUGGCUAUCUCCGGAGUGCCGGCUUGUAGGGAGCGACCCUCACAAGCAUGUGCGAAUGAGCACAAUGGCAAGCAAGCGAAAGAUCUGUCUCAAGUACCAAGUCCUCAUGUCUAAAAACAUGGAAUAUAUCAAGUAUCUCGAUGGCCUACCACUACGUCAUCAUGUCUAAAACACAGAAUAAUAGUGGAUGUCGGAAUGGCCUAUCACUAUGUCUCUAAGUUGCAGUUUCACAAUUUUCUAAGUUAGGUGCCCCUUUAUGGCACUUUGUCCGCUAAGUCAAGCAUGGUGAUUAUGUUCAAGAGUACAAAAUUCUAAACAUUUUUCUCAUAAGAGACAUAUUCCCAAAAUUGCAAUAAAGUACUUAACACAUGCAUAGAUACUACACAUAAGGCUCUACACAUAGAGUGAAAUAUUCAUGAUACAUAAUGCAUGCAUUCUAAGCAUUCAAAAAAAAAAUUCACAUAAAUCCUACCUAGGAUGAAAAUGCAUAAACCACGAUGAUAUGAAAGCAUUUAACUACUUAGGAGACAUUUUCUCCUAUUCCAAUGAAGCCAAACCCAUCGAAGCUAAUCGAAACCUUUUGUUUGCUCCAACGAAGGCGUCCACCACUCUCCUAGUACCCUAAAGGUAUAGAAAAGAGAGUUAAACGAACCUUACGAACACCCAAGUGAUCAAAUAUUAAGCAACUCAAGAAAAGGGUGAAAAACUCACUGAACGCGAAGGAGACUCUCUCGAUCUUGAAAUGGGAGUUAGAGUCCUUCAAAGCCAACCUAAACCAUGAUUCUAAACCAAUAAAUUUGGUUCUAGAAGCCUCUAAUCAAAAAUUUCCAAUUCUAACCCUAAUAUCACAUUCUAGGGUUUCAUCUAGAAGAAGCUAUCCAAAACUUGAUCCAAGAGGGAGAUUAAGUAUACUAACCUCAUAAGAUGCUCAAAACCAAGCUCCAAGUCCUCUAGGGUUGAAGGUUGAUCCUCAAUCAAGCUCCAACCAAGAUCUCAAGCUUCUCCAAUGGUGGAAAACAAUUAAAAAGCAAGAAGGAGAAGAAGAAAGAGAUCAAAACUAGUUAAAAUCCAACAAAAAUAGAGAAGGAAUCAAAGGAAAGGAGUUCUCACCUCUUCUCUAUAGUUCUAGGGCUCAAAAGAGGCCCCCAAGGGCUGUGGUGGUGUUUAAAUAGAGAUGCAACAAUUGCAAAAACACCCCUGCCCGAAAAACUGCCCAGUCUGCAUUAUGUACCGAUACACGGGAAAGUGUACCGGUACACUUCCUACGAAACAGCCCAACCCGAGCCUCGGGUUGGCAGAAAACCCACUUUGUACUGGUACAACCAUCAAGGUGUACCGAUAGAAAUCCUGUACCGGUACAACCAUCAAGGUUGUGACGGUACACAGCCUGGCUCAGGCUGACCCGAGAGCAGGACCAACAAUCCAUCUUUUUGGAUUUUGGUACAAACUUUAAACCUCAAUUCUCGGGAUGCGAGUCAUAGGUCAGAACACUGUCAACGACCUUCCAGAAUAUCUGGUAAAGCUCGGAACACAGAUCAAACACUUGAACCUCGCAAUUUGCAAAGGUCCAGUGUGUUACAAUAAAAGACUACUGGAACUUAAGCAAACCAUUGACGGAGUUAUUAAAAAAGGAUCAGUUCAAGUGGGGGCCGGAGUCAUAAGCUGCAUUCGAGAACCUGAAAGAAGUUAUGACCCGAGCUCCAGUAUUAGCGAUGCCCGACUACUCCCGACUACUCCAGGUCAUUUGUUGUGGAAAUGGAUGCUUGUGGACAAGGAUUGGGUGCGGUGCUCUCGCAAGAAGGAAGGCCAAUAGGUUACAUUAGCAAGGCUAUAAGCCAGCGGAACAUGGGUCUCUCCACGUACGAGAAGGAAUUUUUGGCGAUACUGUUAGCAGUCAGCAAGUGGAAGCAUUACCUAAGUCCCCGGCCAUUCAUAAUCAAAACGGACCACCAGAGUCUCAAACAUCUAUUGGAACAGAAGAUAACAACGGCCGUCCAACAAAAAGGAAUGAUCAAGCUUACGGGGCUGGACUACGCGAUACAAUACAAGGCGGGAAAGAAAAAUAGGGCGGCGGACUCGCUAUCCAGGAGAGGAUUUGAGGAGGGAGCUAGCGCAGCUAUCACCACUGUGAUUUCGAGUUGGGUAACCGAAGUGGUGGUGAGCUACAAAGGGGACGAGAAGUGCCAACAGAUUAUCGCUAAAUUAUUACUCCAAUCGGAUCCACAGUCGAAGUAUGUUUGCUCCCAGGAAUUGUUGAGGUACAAGGGAAGGCUAUAUGUUGAGGACCAAGGGGGAACUCGAAGAAAAAUAAUACAAGAAUUACACGCCUCAGCCCUCGGAGGUCACUCAGGCACCAAGCACACCUACAAGAGAGCGAAGCAAUACUUCUAUUGGCCGGGCCUAAAGAAGGAGGUAGAAGAAUACACUAAAGCCUGCGCAAUUUGCAUACAAAACAAGGUGGAUGGACAACCCUACGGCAGGCUUCUUCAACCGCUGCCGGUGCCCAACCGAGCUUGGCAGGAGAUUACCAUGGAUUUCAUCGAGGCGCUACCGAAAUCGGAGGGCAAGGAUACUGUAUUGGUGGUAAUAGACCGACUCACCAAGUACGCCCAUUUUAUUUCCCUAACUCACCCUUUUACAACAUCUAGUGUGGCACGGGCCUUCCUCGACAGAGUCUACAGGCUGCACGGGUUGCCUCGCACCAUUAUAACCGACAGGGACAAGAUCUUUACAAGCCAAAUGUGGCAAGAGUUGUUCAGACUCCUACGGGUGAAGCUACUGAUGAGCUCAGCUUAUCACCCUCAAACCGACGGCCAGUCUGAACGGCUCAACCGCUGCCUUGAGACGUACUUGCGUUGUAUGUGCUUCUAGCAACCACAUAAGUGGCACGGGUGGUUAACCCUUGCAGAAUGGUGGUAUAACACCAACUAUUAUAUCUCCUUGGGAAUGACACGUUAUCAAGCCCUGUAUGGACAUCAACCACCAAACGGAUUGGUCGUCAACCUGGGACUGGAGGCUGCGACUUCGAUACAGGAGUGGGGCAAAGAACACGAGAGACUCUCCGACUACUAAGGGAAAAACUACUGCAGGCACAGAAUAGGAUAAAACAAAAUGCUGAUAAGAAGAGAGUGGACAAAGAGUACAAGGUGGGGGAAUACGUAUACCUUAAAUUGCAACCAUACCGCCAGGUGAGCGUGGCGGUUCGGCGCAACCUGAAACUCACGGCGCGCUACUAUAGGCCAUUCAAGAUAACAGAGAGGAUCGGAAAAGUAGCAUACUGACUGCAGUUACCCGAAUGUUCCAAAAUCCACCCAGUGUUCCACGUGUCCCUGUUAAAAAGAAGCCCGCCUGUGACCUAGCCGAUAACGCCGGCUAUGCCGCUCGUCGGAGAAGAUGGCCAACUCCUAGCAUGACCAGAGAAGACCUUAGACAGGCGCAUGGAAAAACGAGGUAAUCGAGCAGUAAGCAAGGUUUUAGUGAAGUGGGAGAACUUGGAUGAGAAGUCGGCCACCUGGGAGGAUUAUUGGUUUCUGAAGUCACAGUUCCCGGACUUUGAUCCGGAAACGAAUCCGUGAGGGCACGGAUUCUUUUCGAAGCAAGGAGGGGCUGUAAGGCCUGCAAUAAACAAAGUAGUAAUUAGUAAAAAGGGGGAGAAAAGGAGGCAUUUUUGUGUGACAGCAAGAGGUGGAGCGGAGUGUCCGGUGAGCAGGCCGGCGAUAGGUGCGUCAAAGGGAGCCCCAGGUAAGGCAAGAUGGUUCGGGAGGAAGGCGUUGAAGGAAGCUUCGGCGAAUCGACAGAGAUGAACAGGGAAAGGGCUAGGGCAUACUUGGAGUGGAGAAGAGGUGAAGAUCUUGACCGAGGGUGAUCCAACAGAAUCCAAGAAGUGGAGGAAGUAGUAAUACUUCGGUGCUGAUGGAGCGGGGGUGGUCUGAGUCGCGGAUCGGGCAGAAAGGCGAGCCCACGACCCGGCGGGCGCUGGAUAGUGCGGAGAAGAAGGAACCGAGAACCGCUUACUCAUUAUCUGGAGUUCCUGGACUAGGAGAGUCCCAGCGGAGGCCCAUCAACCACCAAAUAGUAGCCCAGCAAGCCACAUUCCGAUUUACUAUCACAUUUGCUGUUUAGUCCUUACUUAGUUGCUAAUUUCCUUUCAGUACUGAUAUGAUAGUUAGUAUAAAUAGCCAAAAUGUAAUGUAAUCGGGUUAUGAUGAAAUAUAUUACAAGUUCUUCUUCCCCAAUUCCUCUCUUAUUCUCUAUCUAUCUUCUAUCCCUAACCCUCUCAACUCUCCUCCCUUCUCUCUUCUUAUCCUUCCCAAUUCUCCCAGACUUCACCUUCUAUUUCCCCAAUUCCUCACAUUACCUGCAAUCCGAAGAGUUCCCUGGCUCGGAAGCUCCCCAUCAUCCUCUCCGCCGUACCGGCCUCAGCGAGAGCUCAUCAUCGGCGGUUGCGGAUCGUCAGGGUCCUUACAUUAUGUCACUGGAUUCAACAAUUAUUUCAUAUUUUUAACACUAAUUGAAUAUUUCAUUAUAUUUCAUAUAUUUUUAAAAAGAAAAAUUAAUGGUAAUUCCUACGUUGUGUUAAUAGGAAGUAAUCUACCUGUUUUUUAUUUUAAUUUGGAAAUUAAAAAAAUGGUGCGAAAUAUAUAUAUAUUUUGUUCAAAAGAAUGAAAAAUAUUUGCUGUUUAAGAGAGGAGGAAUUCGCCGAUUAAAUGGAGAUUUAAAUUGAUGUCGACUAUUGUUUGAAAUUUCAAGUUCAAAAAAGAGUUUGACUAAUUAUAUAUAAUAGAAAGUGAAGUAUUCUUAUAACUCAUUUAGUGAGUCUAGGUAUUAAGUUUUGUUUUUUAAUUUUUAUUCAUGUGGAGUGUUUAAGAAUGAUCAUUAAAAGUUUCUAAUAAUCAAUCAGGAUGGAGUGUUUAAGAAUGAUCAUUAAAAGUUUCUAAUAAUCAAUCAGGAAAGUGACUGCACUUGAUGUAACCUUGUUGUUUUCAUACAACUUAAAAAUAAAUAAAUUUAAUUUUGCAGUACAUAUUGAACACAAGUGUGUACCCCCGCGAGGCACCGUGGAUGAAAGAGCUCCGCCGCAUCACAGCGAAGCACCCCUGGUACAUUAAUCUCUUAUGGAACGGCUUUUUGAUUUUAUAUUUUAUCUCAAUUUGCAUAAAAAACAAAAGGGAAAAAAAACAGAAGCGUUAAUAUAGUGUUCUAUAGCAUAUCCUUUUAGUUCCAAUUUAAUCUUAUGAGUCAGUUUUUACAAUUAGAUCUUAUAUGACCUCUCAAAUAAAACUUAAAAAAUGAAGAUCUAGAUGUUACAAUUAGAUCUUAUAUGUUCGCAUAUUCUUUUGAGCGUGGCACUCCGAGUCACCUCAAUUCCAAUUGUUAGAAUUUUCAUAUAUUGUGGCCCAAUUAGUCAUAUUUAAAUUAAAAUUUGCUAUAGAUAAAGGUAAAUCCUAACAGAUUUAGAACUACUUGAUAUGGUAUGUUUUAUCCAUAUUCCAUCUAUUUUAAAUUUAAAUAGAAUCCUAAUCAGACUUUGAUGGGAAGUCGAUAUGAACUCUAUAUAAAGGGGUAUAGGUCCUGCCACCUUCUCAUACGCAUUUCGGUGAAGAAUUACCAUCUGUUCCACACCAUACGGUAGAGUGCAUGAGAUAAGGGGAGAAAUCAAAUCACCCAAGUUCGGUUCGUGACUUUCAGAUCAUAGCCGGACUUCAUGCUUCCGCAAGAUUGAUCAAGAAUUUCUUUUCUAUGGCGCUCUGUGAGUUAUCUUAUUUUAUUUUGAUCCUGGAUUUUGGUAUGUAUUUAAUUUUCAUCUUAUUUUACAUACCUAUAAAAAUCUAUCAAUUGGUAUCAGAGCCAUUUAACGAUAAGUUAUAUAGUAGUAUACACAAAAUUUUCUCUUGGAGCAUUGGACAAGUGGACGGAUAUAAUUUGGUCGCUUUGAAUUGCAAACAUUAUUUUAUAAAAUUACUGUUCAUCAUCUUCUUCUUCCUUUAAAAUUAAUUCUAAGACUCGUUUUAAAGUUCUUGCCAAGGAUUAUAAUUGUUUGUAGCGGACGCGGCGAGAUUGCAACUAUUUUUGGCGUUGGCAUCUCGGCGACUUUUGGUCGCAUGGAAGGUCGUUUUGAACGACAAUCCGACUUUAUGCUGCGUGUCAUUGCGAGAUUCCGGUAAGGAUGAACAUCGGAUUUUCAUUAACUCGAUGAUGCCGUGAGCAAUCGAGUCUCGCAUGGGGUUGUCCACACAUUAAUCUUGGCCGCACGAGAUGCAGGGUGCUUGGCCUUUUUUGAGGUGGCCGCAUCGUUGCUUAAUUGAGUUCCUAAUUAAAAUCUAGGGAGAAGAUGAACAGUAUAUUUUGUUGGGUUGAUUUAACCUAUUCCACUUAAUGAAUUAAGACAACAUAAUUUCAGAUUUAAUUAGUUUGAACUUGUUUCAAAUCUGAGUUUAUUAUUAAAUUUGUCUUAAUUAUUUUCAGAUAAAGAUUAGAUUUGUUACUAAUCUUGGUUUCUUUUAUUAAACUCUUGGUGUGUAGUUAUACAAUUCGAUCCGACCAUCUUUAGAAAAGUAUAGUGGAGUUUAAGUCAACCCAUUAAUGAUCUAUGCCCAAUUUUCUUUUACUCAUCAUAAAGUUAUGCUCCAUACAGUACUGUGAAUGUUCAAAAUUUAUUCACAUAAAGUUUUGAUUUUGUAUAUAAUAUUAAUUUAUCAUAAAUUUAUUUAUCUUAUGUUUUGUGGUCAAAUAAAAAUAUAUAAAGUUUAAAUUUGAUUGCGUAAUUAUGCUUUAAAUUAUCGCAUCUAUAUUCUUAUUUUGAUCGGAUGAAUAUGAAAAUUAAAUAAUCAUAAAUAUUUUCGAUUAUUUAAUGUUUGGCGCUGAGUUAAAUUAAUUUAUUAUUUCGAUUGGCUAGGUGCAAGCCAAAGCGGCCCUAAUUAAAAAAAAUAAUAAUUUAAUUUACUUUAAAGUAGCGCUUCCGGAUAAUUUUCAUGUUAAUUAUGCAGCACUAAGUCAGAUUAAUUUAUUGCUUCAACUGUUCGGGUGCAAGCCAAAGCGGCCCCGACUGAAAGAAAAGAUAAAUUAAUUGCUUUAAAGAAGUGCAUGCAGAAAUUGCACCAUAAUAUCAUGUUUAGUCUACUCCCAACGGAGGUCUAGACAUAAAAGUAAAUGGGUGGUGUAGGAUGGUAAUUUUCUUGUAACUCGUUUGGAGAAAUUUGUCUGGCCAAAGCUGACAAUUUCUUCAUAUGGGAAAUUUGAAAUUAUCAUGACCUACAGAAAGUUUAAUUAAUCUCUCAUAGAGAGAUUGCAUAUUUAUGCUCAUAACUCUGCUCCCAAAGGAGGGGUUGUGAUGUCAUAUAAAGUAUAUGCAUAAAAAACGAAAAAUACUUAUGCUCACAACUCUGCUCCCAAAGGAGGGGUUGUGAUGUCAUACAAAGUGUAUUUUUCUAAUUUUUGGUGUGGUAAUUGUGAUGUGGCAUUUUAUUGAUAAAAAACAUGCAUUUUAUUUUUCAGCUAUGACUCCAUUUUCUGUUCCUAUUGGUGAAUCUGUUCCUAUACUUAAUGGUUCUAAUUAUUCGGAGUGAAAAGAACAGAUCAUAUUAAUUUUGGGCUAUAUGGAUUUAGAUUUGGCUCUGUGCGCUGAACAACCGCCUAAGGUAGUGGGGCCAAUGAGUCCACAGCAAGAAUCCGCGCAGGAAAAGUGGGAGCGAUCCAACCACUUAAGUUUGAUGCUCAUAAAGUCAAGGGUAUCAAAAAGCAUAAGGGGAUCAAUCCCAAAAUGUGAUAAAGCCAAGGAUUAUCUAAAGGCCGUUGAGGAGCAGUUUGUCAGCUCCGAUAAAGCCUUUGCGAGCACCUUAAUGAAUAAACUGUCUUCCAUGAAAUACUCCGGAAAUGGCUCGAUUCGCGAGCAUAUUAUGGAAAUGCGAGAUAUUGCAGCGCAACUCACCGCACUUGAAGUAACCAUCUCUCAUUCAUUCCUAGUGUACUUUAUUUUGAACUCUUUGUCAUCUGAAUACAGACCAUUUCAGAUCUCUUAUAACACACAUAAAGAUAAAUGGUCAAUUAAUGAAUUGCUGACCAUGUGUGUGCAAGAGGAAGGCAGAUUAAUACAAGAGAAACAAAAUGCAGUCAACUUUAUUUCUCAGAAGAGACAAAUAAAGCGUGCUAAGAAUGGCAGGGGCAAGAAUGACUCAAAAAGAAAGAACAAGGAAGUUUCAUCUGGUUCACAAGACCAAUCAAGUAAUUGGACUCCCAAGUGCUUCUUUUGUAAGAAAAAGGGUCAUAUAAAGAAGGACUGCCAAAAGUAUCAGAAAUAGCUCCAGAAGAAAGGUAAAUUUCUGGUUUUGAUGCAUGAGUUGCAUUUAGUUUCAGUUCUCUCUAAUAUUUGGUGGAUUGACUCUAGUGCCACAUGCCACGUGGCGAAUUCCGUGCAGGGAUUUCAGAAUUGGAGAAAAUCUAGUAAAGAUUAAGCGACUAUCUAUACAGCUGAAGGAAAUCCAACUAAAGUAGAAUUUGUAGGAACAUUUAGAUUAGUUCUUUCUACUGGUCACAUUAUGGAUUUAGUUUAUACAUUUUAUGUUCCAAAUUUUUCUAAGAAUUUAAUUUCUAUUUCGAAACUUGUUGGAUUGGGAUAUAGUUUUAGUUUUAAUAAUAAAGUUUUUUCUUUAUCUUAUAAAUCUCAGAUAGUUGGCUCUGGUGUUUUGAAAAAUAAUCUAUAUAAAGUAUUUUUAGAUGAUUUAUUUAGUGAAAUCGUUCUUACUAUGCACGAAAAUAUUGGAUCAAAACGUGGCAUUAAUAAUGAAAGGUCAUCCAUGUUAUGGCAUAAGAUGUCACGCCCCGGGGCACGGCAUAGGCCCGUCCGGUGCGUGUCCAGACCCGCCAUAUGCCUGCACAUAUAAGGCGUCUACAACAAAAGAGAUAUGGAAGUAAGAAGAAAUAAAGUCACUAGAGAUAUCAGAGCUACUAACAGCUAACAACUAACAACAAGUAGAGAAAGGGGAAAGUAAACUACUAAACAUAAAGAUAAAGUAAGUACAAGAGUUAUCACAAAAGUACUACAAAAAGGGUGGUCUCUAUACAAGAUACAACUCUCAUCCUCACCCAAAAAGAAAACAAAGAAGAGGUAGACCACCUAUCGCACGUCCCUCGCUCACAAGCUAGCUCGUGGCGAUACCCUUUCCGCAGUCCCUAGCCUCGCCCAGAGUGGAAGGCUCUGAAAUAAGAACAUGAAACAGAGGGCGUGAGAACUAUAAUUUAUAGUUCCUAGUGGGCAAUUACUAACCUCAGCAUAAUGCACCACUAGGCCCAAAGAAAAGGGGUAAGUAACGAUAAUAUUAAACAAUAUUAAGCUGUUGAAUUGAAAGCAUGUAUGAAAUGCAAUACUACUAUGCCACAAGAUAUAUGAUAUGUAACCAUUCUAUCAAGAUGAAAUAAGCCCAAUGCAUAGCUCGAAUGUUCUAUGAUGGCAAUAAGCAUACUAAGAUAUAAUGAGUAAUACUAUCAAGUAUACUAUGAGUCUAUCUCAAUAUCCACCACUAUGCGGUAAGCAUGUCGAAGUAUCCAACUACUAUACCCUAUCUAGUAGUGAUUAGCCUUUGUAAGUUGAUGUCACGGUUCAAUCUCAUUUGGGACUUACACAAGUGUAGUUCAGCUUGUGCCGCCUAAGUGUCGGUGGUAGUGUCACGCCCGGGUACCAGCGGAAGCAUAUCCGGUACGUGCACAGACCCGCCAUACACCUGCAGUAUAUAAGGCGUCUACGAAGAAAGCAAGUCGAUAGGAAGUAAAACAAAGAAAGUCCUAUCCUGAUAUCAGAGCAAUGUACAAGUCGAUAUACUAUCAGUAAAAGAACAAAGAGUAUACAAUCCAAAAAUCUCAACCACAAGAAGAAGUAUCACAACAAAAACAUCUGGUUCAACAGUAAAUAUACAUCACGGGGUAUACAAAAAUAGGUACAAUGGUGGUCUCUCUAUACAUAGGGACAUCACCCUCGGCCUUAGCCCGAGUAGCAAGGUGAUCGACUAGCGUGCUCCUAGCAAUGUCUAGCUAGACGCGACUCCCUUACCACGAUCCCUAGCCUCUCCUGUAGAUGGCUCUAUAAAAACAACCACCAAAAGGGCGUGAGAACUAUAAACAAUAGUUCCCAGUGGGUAAGCCGCCAGUCUCGGCGAAUUACACCACUAGGCUCAUGAUGUGCUAAAUUGAAAGCGAAAGCAGAAAUGCAGUUAUAUAUAAUUAUUGUCAAUGCACAAGGUAUAUGAGAUGUAAGCCACAUGUCAUCAUAGUCUCAACAAGUAAUGAAUCAAACUGAAUAAUAGAAGCAUUAGAACUAUGAUAGUUAUGAACUAAGUAUAAAUUGUAAAAGUAAACUACUAUACACUGAAACUCGUAAUCAUUCAUUUUACUGUACAAUUCCUUUAGCACUUUUCUUUUCAUUACUAGGGAUUACUCAAAGGUAGUCAGCUUGCCCCGCCUAAUGGCCCGUGCGCAGUGUACACUCCCACGGCAAUCACUUCGACCCCAUCACGCACGGGGAGCAACUGUCUGGCGAACUAGUGCAACUCCGGAGAGUGCCGCUGGUAGGAGCAACCCUCACAAGAUGUGCGAAUGAGCACUAAUGGCAAGGCAAUUAAUAAAUAGUUAAACAAUUCUCAAUUGUCAUCUUUAAACAUAAUUAUAAGGGUUACUUACCCGUGCGACUUUAGGUCUGGAUUGACUAGCCAUGGUUAGUAAUCCACCAGAUUAAAUGACGUAGAUAAAAGAACUAUAUAUUACAUAUGUCAUUUGAUCAACUAUAGUCACCUGACAAUGUUUGAACUACUUUUAACGCAGACAUACAUUAUUGCAUUAUAUUUUGGUUUAUGCAUUGUAAACUCAAAGGAGAAGGAAUCAUUCAAUGAUUCACAUGAAUUAUGCUCUACAUUCGUAUUAUAUAGCUUCAUAAUGAACAUAGAAGGAGUUCACUUGCUCUGGUUAGGUCCGACCCACAUAGCGAUAAGCUCGAUUCAGCCGAAAAGAGUCCCGAAAUUAGCGUCAACUGGCCUCAACCUUGCUGUAAACAAGCAAUCAGAACUGUAUUGGAAACUUUACCAAAGGUCGAAUUUCUAUAAAAUUCUCAAUUGACUAUAUUGAGAAUUUGAUCCUGGUUUUGGUUCACUUUAGUAACUCCAAUUUAACUCUAAAGGACUUCCAAUGUCAAUUGAAGUGAUUCACAGGAUCGUUGCACCCACGAUGCGGAGCAAUACAAAACGACAGUCAAAAUACUCGUAUACUAGUUAAUAUAGCCGGGAAAACUUCACUUAAUCAGUUUUCUAACUGAAAUAUUGACUUACCUUAGUUGAAAAUAUUUUCCAAACGGGUUCCCAAGUGUCACCAAUUAAGCUCAGAGUAAUUCGGAAACCCUGCUGUGAAGAAAAGAGUCCAAACUGAUCAAGCCGUUUAUUAAACCAAUGUUUAAGCUCCGAACUAGAAUCCAUAAAUUCCUAGACUUACCUUCACCAGCUUCAAAGCAGCCUUUCCCUUAGAUUAGGAAAUGGGUAAACUCACAGCUAGAUAACCUGCCAUCUCUAGCUGCCAGGAAUCAAUUUGCAAACCGGAUGCUGCUGAACCGAAUCUAAAUCAGCCAUUUAUCUCAAUUACUGCGCAACGCGAUGAAAAGAAACAUGUACUAUAACGCUUCUUAGAUCCAUAAACUCCAGUUCCAACUAAGCUAAGCCUAUAGUGUUAUCUGACCCUGUCCAAAGCAGCCAAAUCCCUUUUUCUAGCCUGGAAACAACGGAAACCUUAAAAUCAGCCACUUUCGAUAAUUAAGCUAGAUUACGAAAAGGUUGAGUGAUACUCUUCAAGCCCUAACUCAGCAGCUACUGGUCCAGAGUGCCGAAAACUUCCAACGUACUCUCUCACACAUUCACAAGGCUCCGCAACACUCGCAACUAGCCUGAAGAAAAGCAAGUGGCAAAAAUAAGUGAAAGCGUCGAUUUCUUUGUAGAGAGAGGAGAGAGAGAGAUUCUAGAGAGAGAAGGAAACCUUCAAACCUACCUUGCUGAGCUCAGAGAGGCUUAUCCAGGUUGCAGGGGUCGAACUGGAGGUAAAAGGGAUAAGCAUGCUGAGUAAAAAGACCAAAAUGUCCAAGCUGCCACGCAGCUGCUGCUGCUGCUUGCUGUACCGGUACAGCAUUAGGCUUGUACCGGUACACCAAUGCAGAAAAUGCAAAAUUCGCAAUUGCAAUGCACUUUCUUGCUUUUAGCUUUCCAAUCACCCUCUAACUUGUCCAAAAACUUGUCCAAGGCUUUUAGAAUAUGUAGGAUAGUUCCACUUUGCCUUCCACACACUCGAACUCUGCAAUUGGCAAAAGUUCAGUGUAUUACAUUCACCCCUCCUAGAAAGAAGUUUCGUCCGCGAAACUUAUAAACACUUACCUCAAGAUUCUGUCGAGAAUAGAUAAGGAUAAUGCUCUUGCAUUGCACUUUCCAGUUCCCAAGUGGCUUCUCGUUCCUCGUGAUUGCUCCAAAGGAUUUUCACGUAGGAUAUCUCGCGAUUUCGAAGCUGUUUCACUUCUCGAGCUAGUAUUCUCACUGGAUGCUCUUCAAAGCUCAAAUCUUCUCAUAAAUCCAUUGGAGUACUUUCUAAUAUGUGAGUUGGAUCAAAAACAUAUUUCCGAAGCGUAGAUACGUGAAAUACAUUAUGCACUCCCGAUAGGCUUGGCGGCAAAGCAAGCCGAUAUGCUACGGGGCCUAUCCGUUCCAAUACCUCGUAGAGUCCAAUAAAUCGAGGGCUCAACUUCCCUAGAAUACCAAAUCUCUUAACCCCCUUUGAGGGUGAAACUUUUAGGAAUACAUGAUCGCCAACUCGAAAUUCCAGUUCUCGCCGACGUUUAUCCGCAUAGCUCCUUUGUCGACUUUGAGCUGUCAGUAGAUGUUCUCGUGCAAGUCGAACCUUAGCUUCAGCUUCUUGCAGUACAUCUGGACCCAGGACUAAUCUUUCACCCACUUCACUUGUCACGCCCCGGGACCGAUACCAAUUUGGCCCGACCCGAGCACGUCAAACAGACGCCGAACGGACAGAGUUUCCCCUAUCCGCCCAAGGCUCAUCACGUGUACAAAUUCAAACAAGAAAUGCACUAGCGGAAACAUACACAAACGGCUUACACGAGGGUAAGCAAUAGCCAUUAGUGAAAGAAAAGAAAACUAAACAUUUAUAAGUACUAUGAUUCAUUUUUGAUCAUAUACAUUGCAUUCAUCUUGUUCAUUUUCGAAUUCCUUACAUUUUAUUUCAUCAUUUCUUUCUUACAUCACAAUUACCUCCAAAAUACACAUUACAUUAUUUUCUUUAUAUCAUUUACCAUCAUGUACAAAAGAUGAUCGUAGGGUACUCUACUACAAAAUGAAACCCAACUUUGGUGGCCUCUGACUAAGGCGCGAUACCUUUGCCUCGGUCGCUCGCCUGCUCGCUCGGUCCCGGCUCUGUGGAAAUAGUGGGGUGAGAACUACAACAAAGUUUCCAGUGGGUUCAGCCUCAACAUCACCGACUUUCCCACUAGGACUAACUCAGGCAUAAUAGAAAGGAUAAGCUGAAAUAUGGUAACCAAUCUACAACAUGAUGCUAAUAUGCCUGAACAAUAAGCAAGGAAUAUGCUCAACAUUAAAUAAAUGCAGAUUAUGCAAAUUUUUUUGUUCUUUAUCUUUACACUUUGUUCUUGUUCUUUGCACUUUGCUCUUUGUUCUUUAUUCUUUAAUCUCAAGGCUAACCCGGGGGUUUCGCCACAUUAACUUGCUUCACAUUAAGUCCAUCAUCGCAGGAGCUCACCCGCUAGGACCGUCCUUCGAGUUUACUCCAACCCGUGAUGCAUAACUCCGGAGCGCAUCGCCCGAGGGGGAGCGACCGCCCUCGAGCACGGAACUCAUAGCAAGUAUGAUCAUAUCCUUAACUCAAAGGAUUUAUAAGUUCAAUCUUGACUUUACACUAACUCUAGUGUUCUUUCAGCACUUUUUGUUGCCACUCUAGCAAUCAUUGUUCUUUACCAUUCAUAAUCUUGCUAUCUCUAGCAAUUUUAUUCUUUACAUUCUUUACUUUUGGCUACCUCUAGCACUUCACGUUCUUUACUCCCCACAUUACUUUAACUUUAAGCAUUGUCGUUUUCAUCGUUCUUUACAUUACAUUGGUUCUUUACCUCACAUUAUCUCUAGUGUCAUCUCACUUUAACUUUAUCAAAUGCCGCUCGAUCUAUGUCAUAGUGUCACUCUGUUCUUUUGCUCACUUUGGGUGCUCACUUUCUCUCAUGCAUACACAUAGGGUUUUCGACAUCACAUAGNNNNNNNNNNNNNNNNNNNNNNNNNNNNNNNNNNNNNNNNNNNNNNNNNNNNNNNNNNNNNNNNNNNNNNNNNNNNNNNNNNNNNNNNNNNNNNNNNNNNNNNNNNNNNNNNNNNNNNNNNNNNNNNNNNNNNNNNNNNNNNNNNNNNNNNNNNNNNNNNNNNNNNNNNNNNNNNNNNNNNNNNNNNNNNNNNNNNNNNNNNNNNNNNNNNNNNNNNNNNNNNNNNNNNNNNNNNNNNNNNNNNNNNNNNNNNNNNNNNNNNNNNNNNNNNNNNNNNNNNNNNNNNNNNNNNNNNNNNNNNNNNNNNNNNNNNNNNNNNNNNNNNNNNNNNNNNNNNNNNNNNNNNNNNNNNNNNNNNNNNNNNNNNNNNNNNNNNNAAAAGAAAAGCUUCAAAUACUCAAAUGGUUCCAUAAAACCCAUUUUAAGCUUAAUCCAAACCCUAGAUUAGGUUCUACCAUGAUUAGGGUUCAAAGCUUACCUUGUAAGCCCUCCUUUUCCAAGCUAGAGAUGAGGGAGGGGGAGUUUCUUCACUUCCUCUUCUUCUUCUCCUUUUUCUUCUCCUUCUUUUCCUUCCUUUCCUUGUCUUCUUCUUCUCCUUCUUUGUCUUCU
This 68731-nucleotide long non-coding RNA is filed under the name Ananas comosus (pineapple). RNAcentral describes it as "long non-coding RNA (ACOM_LNC001041)". The record is from RNAcentral. Lineage: Eukaryota; Viridiplantae; Streptophyta; Magnoliopsida; Poales; Bromeliaceae.